RNAcentral lists this long non-coding RNA (52043 nucleotides) under Arabidopsis lyrata. RNAcentral's name for it is "long non-coding RNA (ALYR_LNC002444)". The record is from RNAcentral. Lineage: Eukaryota; Viridiplantae; Streptophyta; Magnoliopsida; Brassicales; Brassicaceae.
UUUUCUUUUUUCGUUUAUUGAUCUUCAGUGUCGGUUGAUGGGUGAGGGAGUGAAGCGGUGGUGAGCGUCUUUCUUCUCCGGUGGUGUGAGGUGUGGUUUGGUCUUUGGCUCAUUGCUUGUUGGUGGCUCUCCUUCACGGCGGCCAGAGAAGCGGUUCCUUCGUUCUGCUGGUUAAGGACAACAGUAGAUUGGAUCUUGUUUCUCACGGCUCGGCGGCUUGUGAUUGUGGCUCCGGCGAGUAGCGGAAGUUGAGCUUUCGAUCGGUGGGUUUCACCACUUUGCGAAGAGGUUAACGGUGGCUCCUUGGCAGGAUCCUAGAUGGCUAGUUUCGGGUGAUCCUUGGCCGGAUUUGGGCGGUUGAUGGCUUGUUUUGAGCCGGCGUCCAUCAGCUGCCUCCGUUUUUGGCUUCCUCUUUGCCGGAUCUGAAGACUGAUUUAGCUUUUGGAGUGGUUCAAGGAAGAACGUCGAGGGAAGUAAGGGUUAGUUUUGAUGUCUCUCUUCUUGCUAGGUCGGGGAGAAGAGGUCCUGGGUCUCGGUUGUGGCGGAUCUUCCUUUCCCGAAAGGAAAGUUCUGGGUUCGGUUUGUGUCUCGGCGACAGGUUGCGACCGGAUUUGCUAGCUCCGGUCAAAGUCUUGCUGUUGAGGUCUUGUCCGCAAAGGAACCGUCCUUGUUAGCAUCGGAUCUGGAAGGCGAGAUUCGUGUUUUCCGGUGUACUGCCUUCUUCAGAUCUCACUUUGCUUGUGUUUCUGAUUGGGCCAUUUCUUUUUGUAACCCGUUAAUUUUCUAGGCCCAUCAGCCUAAGCCCUUUUUGGGAAUUAUUAAUAUAUUAAAAAAAAAAAAAAAAAAAAAAAAAGUUUCUCCACUAAAGACACGUGGAACCACACCCGUACCACCUCAGCUAGGGUCGCUUGGCACAGCGGGGUUUGGUUCACUAACGGAACACCUAAGUUUUCCUUUUGUGUCUGGCUGGAAACACGGAACAACUCUCAACGGGGGUUUGGUCGACGAGCUGUGUCUUCUGCAAUGCAAGUUCUGAAACUCGGGAUCACUUGUUUUUUAGCUGCAGGUUUACCUCACAGGUCUGGAGAGCAGUAGCCAAAAACAUUUUAAAAACAAGGUAAUCAUUCGACGAGCUGGGCCUCACUAAUCAACUCUGUUUCAAAUAAGUGGAACGAUCAAAUCGAAAACUUCAUUGUUAGAUACGUUUUCCAAGCCACGGUCUACACUAUAUGGCGUGAGCGAAACGGGAGAAGACACGGAGAGAACCCCAGCACACCAAAUCAACUAAUCACUUGGAUAGAUAAGCAACUUCGGAAUCAAUUUUCAGAGAUAAGAGCCGCUGGUGAUAGACGUUAUGAGAAAGGCCUUCAAAGAUGGUUUGAGUCGAGACUCUAAGCGAAAAACAUUCUGAUUUUUUGAUUUUCUGUUUCGAUUUCAGUUUUCUCAGCUUAAGCCAAAUGUUGCACUAGUUGUAAAAACAUAUAUUUUUUUCCUUCUUAAUUUAACAUUACAUUAAAAAAAAAAAAAGAUAGUGGUCAAGCUUAUCCUACAUAUGAACUCAAUUUUCUUGAAGGCAUCAGUCUCUUAACCAAGUGAGAGAAAAAGAAUAGCUGACCAUCUCUCAACUGAAACCAUAUAUGUUUAACCAAUUGUGAUUCUUGGUAAAUUUGAUGCCUCCGGUUUGCAUGGACUUUAAAUGGUUUUGAAAAACUGGGUUUAUCUUACUAUUAAUAUUGGAAUAUUGAAUUACGAGACUCACCAAUGUAUAAGGUAAGUAAAUACAGUAUAAGCCAAAUUUCGUGUCGGGGUCAAAUAUAGAACACUCAGGAACAUGGUGAUAUUUCAUUAUUGAAAGAAGAUGGUGUUUCUUUGAUAUAUGUUGGUAAUUCAUAUUAAGACAAUAUAGUUCCUCAAAAUUAGGAACAGAUGAUAACAUGUGGAACAGCAGCGAAAAAUUCUUUUGUUGCAAAGACCUAAACAAAACCAUUUUAAAACUAUUAAACAAGCUUAGAAAUAUUUGACCCAACAAGAAGUGAAAGCUAACAAAGUUUUCGAAAGAAUAUUACUUCCGGAUCAAAGCCAAGACUACGAGAAUGAAAGCCAUUCUCUCUAGUUUGUUCUAUAAGAAAUUAAGAAUUCAUUUUGCAAAAAAAGAGAAGAAGAAGCAAAAUUAGCAAAAAUCUCUAGUUGCAACAAAUAAGAUAGUUUGUGAAUAAAAAAACUAAAAUCCUAAUCAAAUUUAGCUUUCUCACCAACCAAGAAGCCAAAAAAGUACGUAAAUUUAAACUUGUAGUUCUGCUAGUUCUUCUCUUUGACCUCGAGGAACAGGCACCAAACUGGGAAUAAAUGUAGAGUGCGAAGGCCAAGGAUCAACCACAUAAUCUAUUUGAGUUUUACUGACCAACUUAUUUUCCCCGAAAACAUAGAUCAAAGCCCGACCAGUUUCAUCGCAAGAGCACACUACGAGCCUUUAUCUUCGAUGAAGUAACUUGGCUGAGAGUAUCUAGGAUCUACUAAAUCCGGCAAGUUAGGACUUGACACUUCCAUGAACUUUAUCCAUUCCACAUCUUCACUAUCCAAAUUAUUAUUAAUCUUGUACUUGCUCACCCAAACCUCAAUCUUCUUUGUUGCAUGGCAUUGCUUUAACAAUGAAAAACGAUCUCCCUCAAAAACCUUGAGGACAAGAGCAUCCUUAAGAUAGUCCGUCGUUCCACAUGGUAGAUCACAAAAUCUGAAGAACUUUUCGCUCGAGUAAUUGAAUUUAUAUAGGUUGUACACGGGAUCAGUCUUGUCAUAAAAAGUAAUCCAAUACAAAUUUCCGUUCAACGAUACACCAGUACUUUUGUUGUGUAAUAUAGGCCUUUUUUCUUCCUUACUAAUACCAGAAUCUAACUUCCUAUUACCAGAAUCUAACUCGAGGUCUUUCCAUGCAUUGGAGGCAAAGUCAUGGAUUGUCCACAAGCUCUUGGUGGGAUGUUCCUUCCAACAACAACCAGCAACGAUCUUGUAACUCCCCUUAUUGUUGUAUCCUAUGCCAUAGGCUUCCAUUCGAGUUUGGUUUAAAUCUUGCUCAAUCCAUCUACUCUGUCUCAAGCAAGGGUUCCAAACCACAGCUCCUUUCUCCGUCCCACAUAGCAACAACUUAUCGCAAUCAAUCAAGUAUUUAGGUAUGUGGGAUUCUAAACCGGGAAAAUAAAAGGUUAACUCACACACCUCUAUCUUUAGAUCGAUACUUACCGAAUAAAUCUGAAGAGUACAGGAAAGAUAUGAUCCAUCUAGAUCCACAGGGCCAUAAGGUGUCUAAAGUUUUUCCUUUUCCUCCUGGCUGUGAUUGAGUUCUUGAUUUGGCGGUCAAUAUCUCUGAAGAUAGUGAGCGGCGGUAUGAUGAUUUGGUUAUGAAUGAUGUUGUUUCUCUGUCUCCAGACACAAUAAACUAGCGCUUGAAUCAGAAGAAUUCGCAGAGUUCUAGGAGAAGCAGCAGAACUCGCCUUUGCCCAAACAACCAAAGAAGACCAGCUAGCAAAAGUUGUUGUAGAAAGUCGAAUCCUGUGCAUAAUUCUGUCCCAGAUGACUCGAGAGAAUUGGCAAUGGAGAAAUAAGUGGUCUCGAGUUUCAGUUGCAGCCCGACAUAGACUACAAACAGAAGAAACUUGUAAACCCCAUGAAGCAAGACGCGCCAUAGUGGGUAACCUAUCCAUAUUAGCAAUCCAAAAGUUGAAAGCAUGUCUUGGAAUGUGGCCUUUAAACCAAACGGUUUUGGCCCAAUCUUUUUCCGGCUCUCUUGGUCUCAGGGAUUCCCAAGUCUUACUUGCCGAAAAACUCCCAUAAGUCUUAUCAUCAAUAGCCCAGUCAAAAGAGUCCUCUACAGACCCCGGAUUGGGGUACCAAUAGAAGAUAAGUAAGCGUGGAGGGAGACAGCAUUAUCAGACCCUGCAGGGGCAAGGUUCCUUCCUCUCCAAUUAUAAGCAUCAAUAACUCUUGAGUUCAGUGGAACUCUUAGUAUUCUCGGACCCUCAGCACCAAAAACGUCAAUUAGAGGGCCAAGUGGAGUCCAAAAGUCAUGCCAAAACCAAGCUUUUGAUCCAUUACCAAGAUGACAGCGGAUAAAUUUAUGAGUAAGACCCCGCAGCUUCAACAGACCUUUCCAGAACCAAGAAUCUGUACUCUUUGGCUUUAAAUCCCAGAAGCUACAGCAAUCCAGCUUGUGAUGAUGAGACUGCCAAGCAACCCAAAGAGAGCCACUGUUUGAGAAGAGCAGCCAAAUGAGUCGCAGGCAAAGUGUUGUGUUCCAAACAGAGAGCUUUCGCAGACCUAAGCCUCCUUCCUUCUUUGGUAGGCAAACCGUUGACCAAGCAACUUUCGCUUUAGAAUGAGUAUCGAUGUUUCCCAACCAGAGGAAGCGUGAGCAGAGAGAUUCGAUCUUUCUAAUACAACCCUUGGGGAGCAUAAAUGUAGACAUCCAAAAAUUCACAGACCCGUAAAUCACCGAAGCAAUUAGUUGGGAUCUGCAAAAGAUAAAGACUUUACAGCCCAACCAUUGAACUUGCUAAUGAUCUUCUCCAAAAGAGGGGAGUAUUCAUUUAUUUUCAGCUUCCUGGACAUUAAUGGAAAGCCAAGGUAUCUAACAGGUAGAGUCAUCGUAGAAAAUCCGUAGACAGCAGAUACAUCAAUCUCUCUUUGAGAGAGACCAGCUUGGAAGAGAACCGUCUUAUCUCUAUUCAUGUUUAAGCCUGACCAGCCCGCAAAGUCUUCAAGGGUCUCAUAAAUACCAUGAAGAGAAGAAGAGCUACCAUCAAAGAAGACCAUGACGUCGUCUGCGAACAUUAGAUGCGAAAUUUCCAAAUCAGCAGUUUUUGAUAUGAAAGGAAAUAUAACCCGAAGCAAAUCUGGAGGACAAUAACUUUGAGAACACCUCCAUUGCCAAAACAAAGAGAUAUGGUGAGAGUGGGUCACCCUGCCUCAAACCUCUGGAGCUUUUGAAAUACCCUGCAGUCAUACCAUUUACAGCAAUCGAGAAGGAAGGAGAACAAACACAUUCUUUUAUCCAGCCUAUAAAUAUGUCCGGAAAGCCUAAAGCUGCAAGAGAUGCCAAAACAAAAUCCCACCUGAUAGAAUCGAAGGCCUUUCUGAUGUCGACUUUAAGCAUAGCUCUUGGUUCAAUAUUUCUCCAGUUAUAGCCUUGGACAAUCUCUGAAGCAAGUAGGACAUUUUCAGAUAAAAGCCUACCAGGCAUAAAUGCUGACUGAGAAUGAGAGAUUACUGAACACAAAACUGAUAUUAGCAUGUUGGAUAAAAGCCUUGAGAUCACCUUGUACAUUGUAUUUAGGCAAGAAAUCGGUCUAAACUCCGAGACUUUUGAAGCAUUCUGAAUUUUCGGAAUAAGCACCAAGUUUGUGGCGUUCCAUUGCUUUAGCAUAGUGCCAGAGGAGAAAAAUUCAGAAACAGCAGCAGAAACCUCAGCUCCUAUUACACUCCAACAGCUUGUGAAGAAUUCUGCGGAAUACCCGUCUGGACCACUAGUCUUGUUCUUUGGGAGGGAGAAGAACGCUGCUUUAAUCUCUUCCAUUGUAAACAAUUGGUCCAGUCCUGUUUUUUGUUCCUCUGAACAACUGAAAUUCAGCAAAGCAGUAAUAUCAUCUUGACAAAAAAGCGACUGGCCCUCAGAACUACCUAGGAGACCCUUGAAGUAGUCAACGCAGUGAUUUUGAAUGCCAUGCUGCGACUCAAUAGAACAACCAUUGUCAUCAACCAGAAAAUGAAUGUGAUUUAAACCUUGUCUUGUUGAUGUGAUUCUGUGAAAAUAAGCCGAGUUCUGGUCUCCUUCAUCAAUCCACUUAAUCCUAGAACGCUGGUAGAAGAAGCUCUCUUCAGCCUUUGCGAGGAUUUCCCACUUUCUGUUUGCUUCAGAUUCGACAGCUGCAUUAGCGACUGAAGGGUUGGAAAGCAUACUCAGCUGAGCGUCAGUCAACACAACUAAGGCUUCCUGAACUCUUUUCUCCAAAUCAGAAUAGUUAAGCUUGCUAAAUGACAUGAUAUCCUUUUUCAAUUCCUUUAACUUUGAAGAGACCCUGAACAUUUCAGACCCAACCACAUUUAAGGAGAACCAACUGUUGCACACCAAAGAGAGAAAGUCAUGAUUCUUCAGAAGAAAGUUAUAGAACUUGAAGGGUUUUUUGCGCCUUGGCUGAGCCGAAUUUAGAGUGAUGGUGCUUGGAGAGUGAUCAGAGAAUUCUGGGGCUCCAAAGAAACCAGUGGAGAGAGGAAAGAGAGCUUGCCAUUCAUCAUUUAUCAAGAUUCUGUCAAUCUUUUUUGCAACAGGAUUUCCAAUUCUUUUGUUCCACCAUGCGAAGGAGCAACCUCUAAAGUUUAGGUCAAAGAGAGAAGAGUAUGAUAGAGUAUUACCAAAGGCUCUCAUAGCACUGUCCAUGUUUUGAUCUGUUCGAGAUGAAUGAUCAGAGGCCAAAAGGAUUUGGUUGAAAUCACCAAGAACCACCCAAGCCUUUCCCAAAACAGUCGGAGAAGAAGCCAAAGUAACAAUCUCCGACCACAAGACGCUUCUGACAGCCUGCUCAUUUGAAGCGUAGAGAAAAGACACAAUGAACCCAACAGGAUUAUCCGGAAAUUGAACCUCGCAUGUAAUCAUUUGAAGAGACUUCGACACAAUCACCACCUUAACACUAGGGUGCCAAAGGAUCCAAAUCUUUCCUAACUCUGAAAAAUUGUAAUUGUCUUCAAAAAACCAGCCCGGAAGUAACGCAUUAACAAACUUUGCGAUCUUCGGCCUUUUAACAUGAGUCUCAAUGAGACUACCAAAAAUGGGCUUAAUACUAUAGCACCACUUCUUGAAACCGCUUCUAUGUGAUUGCUUAUUAAACCCGCGGACGUUCCAACAAAAGAUGUCUCUACACAUCGAAAAUUAGUGAAGUUUUGGGCCAAGUGCCCUAGUGUUUCUCCGAUCUCUCUUUGAAACAACCUCCAAAUAUUCAUGUGUGUAAAACCUGGUGGAAAAAAAAACCAAAGACAUCACAAGUUAGUGAUAUAGUGAAGCUUCGGAGCAAGAGUCCUUCUCCGAGACGUAGGGGUUAGCCGUAAACUCGGUUCUCAAAUUCUUAUGUUAAUUUUUUUCUUUUAAAAGCAAAUGUUAUUCUCAGUUUUCUCUACACAUGUGUAUAACAAAAUCUUAAAACAAUAUAAUCAACCAAAUUUUUUAUUAUUCAACUAUGACAAAAAAAAAAAGGCUUGAAAAAUAAUUUUCCAAGUCAAUGGUCAACUUAAAUAUUCUCAAGAUAAACAAACAAAUCCACCGAUUAAAUAUCAUCUGGGCCCCUUCUCUUGGAAUAUCAUGCCAAUCAUCCCAUGACAGUAUUGGAGGACAAUUUCGUAUAUUCCACAUCUCCGAGCGACUCAACAUCUUUGCUUUGGAGGCUCUUACAUUGGAAAUAGACAACGGUGUAAGUCACAAGCUGAAACAUCCUCAGCGCAAAGUCCAAACACACAAAGACUAAACCAGUGGCUAAGGUAACCGAGAAAGAUCUUCUCCAAUUUAUCAGCUGCAAGAUUUGACCUAAUCCGAAUGUCAAUAAAUGGAAGGAAAGAUUCAAGAGAAAUAUUUUUGGCUUCAUCCCUUUAGCAAUCUUUGCAGCUUUCCUUAAAGCUUUGAUCCCAUAAGUUUCCUCUAGUAUCGAUAUGACCAUAGAUAAGUUCCAAACGAUAGCUAAAUAGGACUCAUAGACUUCCAAUAGAAUCAAUAAAGGGACAGACUUGGCUACCAAGAAAAAAAGUUUUGAAGAAAACACUAAGAGAGGACAAAAAAUUAUAGCGUAUAGGAACCCAUAGCCAAGAAUGAAAAGAGCAAUAUAGAAUUUUGUCACAAGAGGUCCCUUCCAAGAUUUAAAGGUCAUAACCGGAAAAUAUUUGAUCUUGAUGUUUUCAUUUUUCAGAGUAAGAGCUGAUGCGUGAACGGUGACUAGAUCAGAAUAGAGGUUAAUAAUGGGGAAUACUGCCAUGAAGAUGUAUGAAAAACCCACAAACGUUUGGUUAAACAAGAAAACUAAACAAUUGAGUAAGAAGGGGAAUACCAAGACUGAGAACAUCAUCGACAUUUUUUUGUUCUUGAGAAACAAUUUGCGGGUUUCAUGUAGAAUACCCAAUCCCUCCAUUACAACAUUCAAGAACGGAAAUCGAUCCAUGAUUUCAGAAAGACAAAGGAAAACAAAAGUUCUUGGCUAUCGGUUUUUGGUAAAGGUAGUGAGUGAGGGUUUAUAGGAUCAAACCCAUAUAUAUAAGCUUAGUGCUAUAUGUAUACUAAAGAGAGUCUUUGGCGUGUUCCUUGGGUAGCUUCGGUGAUUUGACUGUGUCAAAGUCUCCAAACAUACUCCACAAUAGUAUUAGUAUUUAAACCAAAACAAAUGAAAGAGGCGGCCAAGACUUAGCCAUAAUCAAGAACAAAGAAAGUGAAGCAUAAUGCAUUGAUGAAAAGUCUAAACGCAAUGACUUCCUGACGACGACGUAACUGAUUAAAGAGUGAAAACAAAAGCUAGCGUAUUCAAUAAUGCAUUUGGCCUUCCUCAUCAAUUGUACGUGAUUAACACUUACUUCAUUUAUUCGUGUUAAAUAAGUCAAGAUACACUGUAGCACCGUGUAAGAAAUGAAACGAUGACAUCUAUAGAAAAGAUACUUGGGAGAUAUAACAAUAUUAGGUGUUUUUUUUUUUGUUAAAGGCUUUCAUUAAUAACAAAAAGAAAAGUAUACAAAGAAGCAAGAUAUUACGAUCAGAACUAGCAACAAGUGCUAAGAGAAAGAAGGAUUCAGAACAAAGAAACCUAAUAAAAAAGAGAAAAACAGAUCCUAACUUCUGCCUUUUUCCAAAACCUUAGAUGGUCCAGCAUUGAAGAAUUGAGAUCCCAUGCUUAAAGCCCAGCUGAUUCAAUGCAUUACACUUGUUUUCCAUAGUGGAAAUAAUGUGCUUUGCUACUAUAACCGGAGAAAGAGAGAGACCAUCAUGGAAACGCCGAUUUCUUUCCCGCCAUAGUUCAUAGAUUGCUCCCUGCCAACCUUGAAGGAGAGCAAGUUUCUUGUACUUGGAUCCUGAAAUUGUUGAUAGCCAAAAAAGGAUAUGAUCCCAUAGAAUCGGAGGAGAUGAGAACCCAAGCCUUUGAGUAAUCAAUCUCCAAACUUCAGCAGAGAAAACACAGUUAAAAAACAGAUGGUUCCGUGAUUCCUGGGCCAUACCACAGAGGAGACAAUCCAACUCAACAUCAAACCCCCAAGAUGACAAACGAUCAAGAGUAGGAUUACGAUUGAGCAUAAACAGCCAUGAGGAGAUAGCAUGUCUUGGAAUGGCAGCCUUAUGCCACAAAAGAGGGGCCCAAAAUCGUUUUGGAUUUGAAAUCCGAAUAGCAUUCCAUACAGCUUUAGAGGAGAAAGACUUGUAAGGAAGACCAUCGAUUGUCCAAAUUGGAGUAUCAUUUGUUGAUGACAUGGUAAUGGUAGAUAUGAAAGAGUGGAGAAGAACUUGUCUCUCUGUUCUAGCGCUUGGGAGAGACCAACCGUUCGCAAUUCGAAGUUCAGCUACAGUUGAAAACAAAGGGAUCCCCAAACGAGUAGGGCCAUCUGAACCAAGAAAAUGAUAAAGAGAGCCAAAGGGAGUCCAUGGAUCCCACCAGAAGAAGGUAGAGUCACCAUUUCCAAUAGUGAUGCUAAGAAAUUUAAGAGCUUUGGGACGAAGCUUAAGUAGUUUUCUAAACACCCAAGAGUAGACAACAUUUUUUUCAUUGAGCGCCCAAAGAGGAGCCGUAGACAAAUACUUACUUCGUAUCCAUGCCACCCAUAAAGAACCAGCUUUAAAAAACAGCAUCCAAAAAAGUUUCAAGCCACAAGUCUCGUUCCAACUACCAAUGUGUUUCAAUCCAAGUCCCCCUUCAGAUUUAGGGAAACAUACAUUAUACCAGGACACUUUUGCACCUGCAGAUAUAUCCAGCUUUCCACGCCAAAGAAAGGAGCUGCACAGGCCAUUGAUCUUCUUAAUAACCUGCUUAGGAAGGAAGAAAGCACUAGUCCAAAAACCGAUAAUUCCCGAGAUAACAGAGGAGAUAAGAGUUAACCGUCCUGCCAAACUCAAAAACUUGAGAGUCCAAGAGUUUAAUGCCAUAGGCGAGUGUUUCUUUAUUUACUACAUAGGCGAAUUGAAUAUUAGGUGUUUACAACAUAAAACAAUAUAUUAUUUGUAUAGAGUAGAAUAUAUGAAAUAUCAUACUUUAUAAACAUUAAUAAUAUAGAUUGUAUGCUCAAACUACAUAAAAUAUUAUUAAGAAAAUAUUACAAAUAUAGAAUAUCAAAUAGAAAAUAUAAUAAAUAUCAAAACUACGACAUUAAGAAAAUAUCAUAGAUGCGAUUUAGACAAAAGCAUAUAUUAAAAAAAAUAAAAAAUAUUAAAUCAUAUAUGAGAAUUACACAAAAAGUUCUUAUAAUCUAUAUAUAUAAUGAGAGAGUUUUCUCUCCAUUUAGGCUAUCCACAUCAUCAUCCACAUAAGCAACACUAUUUAUUUACAUUAAAAUAAAUUUUAAAUAUUAGUGCAUAUUUAUGUUACUUAUAAUUAAUAGAAAAAUUAAAUAAACAAAAAUCUAUAUAUAUAAUGAGAGAGUUUUCUCUCCAUUUAGGCUAUCCACAUAAUCAUCCACAUAAGCAACACUAUUUAUUUACAUUAAAAUAAAUUUUAAAUAUUAGUGCAUAUUUAUGUUACUUAUAAUUAAUAGAAAAAUUAAAUAAACAAAAAUCUAUAUAUAUAAUGAGAGAGUUUUCUCUCCAUUUAGGCUAUCCAUAUCAUCAUCCACAUAAGCAACACUAUUUAUUUACAUUAAAAUAAAUUUUAAAUAUUAGUGCAUAUUUAUGUUAUUAUAAUUAAUAGAAAAAUUAAAUAAACAAAAAAUGAAUUAUGUAAAAUAUAUAAGAUGUUAAAAUAAUAAAAAGAAUACUAUAAAUUUUUUUAUUAGUAGUAAUAAAAUAAUUCAACUUUUAACAGAUUAAAAUGAAAAAUGAUCAUACUUCAAAUUCUUAAAUAUAUUAAUGAUUUUUUGAAUGGAAGUAAAUUUAAAUGCAUGUUAGAAUAUAUUUAUGUUACUUAUAAUUAAUAGAAAAAUUAGAUAAACAAAAAAUGAAUUAUGUAAAAUAUAUAAGAUGUUAAAAUAAUAAAAAGAAUACUAUAAAUUUUUUUAUUAGUAGUAAUAAAAUAAUUCAACUUUUAACAGAUAAAAAUGAAAAAUGAUCAUACUUCAAAUUCUUAAAUAUAUUAAUGAGUUUUUGAAUGGAAGUAAAUUUAAAUGCAUGGUAGAAUAAAACUAAAUUUAAGUAAUUUUAUAUGUAAAAUUUUAAACAAGGAAAUAAAAUUUAAAGUAAAACAUUAGUUUUUAAGAACAAUAUAGUACAUAUUUUUAUUUAUUAUUAAAUUUUUACUUUAAAAAUAAAAAAUUAUUAAAUUCAAUUUAAAUUUAUAAUUUAAGACGAAGAUAUUGUAAGUCUCACACUUUAUCUUGUGAAGUUAAAAAAAAAAUUUAAAAAUUUAAACAUUAUCAUCCCUCUUUAUAAGAAUAAAUAAUAUAUAAAAAAUGAUAUGUAAGCCGUUAAAAAAAAUGUGAUAUGUAAUUUGUGUAGCAUAUUCUCAACUGAAACUAUAACUUUAUAACAUUAUCAAAAAGAAAAAGAAGUUUGAUAUUUCAUCAAUUGAAUCAAAUGCUUUUGACCCAAAAAUUUGAGUAUUGAAAGAUAAGAAUUAAGGAGAAAAUAGUUAUGAUACGUCUUGAAAAUCAAAUCACUGUUCAAUAUAUAUUAUAUGUGAGUUAAUUAGAGGAGAAAAAAGUAGAUGUCGAGAAGCAACGAGUUUAUCAUAGAAGAUGACGAAAGAAUUGGUAGUUAAAAGUGUGUGGAAAUAAAUUUCUAAACUUAGAAAGAUAAUGCACAUGACUAAGAUAAAAUCUUUGAAAUCUCAUUCAUUGUGUGAAACGACGAAUAAGUUAUUAGAAAAAUACAUGACAUAAUUUUUUAAACAGAUUAUUAGAUUCAAAGUUGGACUUUACGGUUUGGCCAUGUAAUCAUGGAAAGUGAGAUAAUAUAGACACAUUGAUGACUUAAUCGAGAUUUAUCUAAUGGUUCGAUACACUUGCUUUAAUGGGUAAAACAAGUUCGUUAAAACUGUUCUAGCAUCAUGGUAUUAUAGAUGUACCUUUGGACUAAAUAAUAUUCAUAAAACACGGUAUAUCGGUAUAUUCACAUUUUAUGUGGAAUGAUGUUAUGUUCGGUCAAUAUUUAAUCAUAAAUAAUAUCUACAAUUAGGUCAACAAUCGAUAAUUAACAUCAAAAAUUUUUUAAAAAAUGUUUUCAUGGAAUAUGAAUAAGAAAGAAACUCUUUUAGAGAUUAGAUAAAGGAUCAUUAGAUGGUCAUCGAUGUCAUUUAUUGUUCUCGCGAAUUUCUUAAGUGAUCUUUGUUACCACGUGAUAUAUAUCAAACCAUUUAUUUAUCACAGAAACAUUAUCGUCGGCAAUAUAUAUGUUGUAUAUCGCUUAUUAUAUUUAUGCUCAAAUAUUUAUCUUUUAAAUUUUAAUAAUUAUAUUUUAUGUUAAAAAAUUUAUAUUAAUAAAAGAGCUUUUAAAUCAAAAUCUAGUGUUUACAUAACGGGGAACUCUUCAUCCAUUUAUCUUUGUUACUAUUCAGUCUUUGAUUAAUUUAAGAUUUGCAAUGAGUUGGAUUUGAUGACCAAUUAAAAACCAUUUUUAGCUAGUUUAAUUAUUUUGUAUAAAUUAAUAUUUUUUACUAUUCUUCUUAAACCCUGCUAUCAUUAGUGACCAAUUACCUAGAAAGAGUUAUGAAAUGUAAAAACUAUAUACUACUUUAAGUAAAAUUUAUAAAUUAUGUCGUAAAUUUAUCAAUAAUUAUGUUAACCAAAUUUUUUUAAUAAUUAAUUAGCAAUGGAAAUUUGUUCAACAGAAAGUUAUUAUCUCAUCAAUAUUAUGUUGCAACGAUAUAACUAAUGGAAAAUUUGACCACAUGUAAAUUUGGGGUGCUUUGCUUGCUACCUAUAAAUUGACGAGAGGUAAUGUAAGUAUAACUUUUUUGUUAAAUUGUAUAAUGCGUUUUUAUUAAAUAUUUUAAUAACUUUUACUUUAUACUGUUUUAACCAUUAAAAUAUCAACAAUCGAUUUUUUGUUAAAUUUUUUCAUUUGUUUCUAAUCGCACCAUCUUUUUUUUUUUUCGAUAACCCAGGUGUCCGGUCCCACCGAAUUGGCCUGACUAGCGUCGUGUCCAAGCGGAACAGACGUGGUCCUGGAAGUCUGCAGCCGCCAUGUGAAUUCCGCAGUGGCCAGGAAUCGAACCCAGGUGGCGAUACCCCCAACUGGAGACCCUUUACCACUAGGAAACAACUCCUGGUUUAAUCGCACCAUUUCCUUUACUAAAGUAUCUCUUACCGAUCACUUAAACUUAAUCAUCCAUCAUAGUCACGACUCAUUAUAUAACUAUGAUGAUAGUUUCGUUGAAAAUAGUAUCAUGCACACAAAUAGAGAUGCAUAUCUAUAGAAUAUUCGUCUGUAGUUGCUUCAGAAGGCAGCACAUGGAUGGACAUGUUGUAACAAAAGGCUAAUUACGGGUUAAUUAUUCCACUUUGCAUUUUUUUUUGUUGUUGUUACCUUCAAAAACUACUAACAAAAUGUAUCACUUUACACGCCAUCUUCAUCUUUUAGAGGCGGCUUUUAAAUUAUAAAAACAAUUAAAGAGUCAAAUGAAAAAGUAGAUAUAUAACAAUAAUAUACUACCAUAAGCUUAAACACAUUAAAAAAGUCCUGUGACAAAUUACAGCACUAAGAACAUACAAAUGAUGCUAAAUCAUUGCUCUCUAAUCACAUACUUUAUUAUAUAUACUACAUCAAAUAUAAUCAAUUGCUCAAAUAAAUAGUAGUCUAACAAUAACUUUCUUUGUUCAUCCAUAAAUUUUAAAUUUCAACAAAAUAAUGUAUAUAUAUAUAUAUAUAUAUAUAUAUAUAUAUAUAUAUAUAUAUAUAUAUAUAUAUAUAUUCUAACGGCCACAACUUAUUAUAGGUAACAAGCCUAGAUUUUGUAUCCGCGCGUUGCGCGUGAUUUUGAUUUAAAAGCUAUUUUAUUAAUAUAAAAUUUUCAACAUAAAAUAUAAUUAUUAAAAUUUAAAAGAUAAAUAUUUGAGCAUAAAUAUAAUAAGCGAUAUACAACAUAUAUAUUGUCGACGAUAAUGUUUCUGUGACAAAUCAAUGGUUUGAUAUAUAUCACGUGGUAACAAAGAUCACUUAAGAAAUUCGCGAGAAGAAUAAAUGACAUCGAUGACCAUCUAAUGAUCCUUUAUCUAAUCUCUAAAAGAGUUUCUUUCUUAUUCAUAUUCUAUGAAAACAUUUUUUAAAAAGUUUUGAUGUUAAUUAUCGAUUGUUGACCUAAUUGUAGAUAUUAUUUAUGAUUAAAUAUUGACCGAACAUAACAUCAUUCCACAUAAAAUGUGAAUAUACCGAUAUACCGAGUUUUAUGAAUAUUAUUUAGUCCAAAGGUACAUCUAUAAUACUUUGUCCAAAAAAAAAAAAAAAGGGUACAUCUAUAAUACAUGCUGCUAGAACAGUUUUAGCGAACUUGUUUUACCCAUCAAAGCAAGUGUAGCGAACCAUUAGAUAAUUCUCGAUUAAGUCAUCAAUGUGUCUAUAUUAUCUCACUUUCCAUGAUUACAUGACCAAACGGUAAAGUCCAACUUUGAAUCUAAUAAUCUGUUUAAAAAAGUAUGUCAUGUAUUUUUCUAAUAACUCAUUCGUUUCACACAAUGAAUGAGAUUUCAAAGAUUUUACCUUAGUCAUGUGCAUUAUCUUGCUAAGUUUAGAAAUUUAUUUCCACACACUUUUAACUACCAAUUCUUUCGUCAUCUUCUAUGAUAAACUCGUUGCUUCUCGACAUCUACUUUUUUCUCCUUUAAUUAACUCACAUAUAAUAUAUAUUGAACUGUGAUUUAAUUUUUAAGACGUAUCAUAACUAUUUUCUCCUUAAUUCUUAUCUUUCAAUACUCAAUUUUUUGGGUCAAAAGCAUUUGAUUCAAUUGAUGAAAUAUCAAACUUCUUUUUCUUUUUGAUAAUGUUAUAAAGUUAUAGUUUCACUUGAAAAUAUGCUACACAAAUUACAUAUCACAUUUUUUUUAACGGCUUACAUAUCAUUUUUUAUAUGUUUUGUUGUAGAACUAAUGAAUAUGUGAUCAUUGAUUAUUUAUUCUUAUAAAGAUGGAUGAUAAUGUUUAAAUUUUUAAAUUUUUGGUUUAACUUCACAAGAUAAAGUGUGAGACUUACAAUAUCUUCGUCUUAAAUUAUAAAUUUAAAUUCAAUUUAAUAAUUUUUCAUGUUUAAAGUAAAAAUUUAAUAAUAAAUAAAAAUAUGUACUAUAUUGUUCUUAAAAACUAAUGUUUUAUUUUAAAUUUUAUUUCCUUGUAUAAAAUUAUAUAUAUAUAUAAUUACUUAAAUUUAGUUUUAUUCUACCAUGCAUUUAAGUUUACUUCCAUUCAAAAACUCAUUAAUAUAUUAAAAAAUUUGAAGUAUGAUCAUUUUUCAUUUUUAUCUGUUAAAAGUUUAAUUAUUUUAUUACUACUAAUAAAAAAAUUUAUAGUAUUCUUUUUAUUAUUUUAACAUCUUCUAUAUUUUACAUAAUUCAUCUUUAGUUUUAGAGGCGGCUUACACGCCCAUCUUCAUCUUUUAGAGGCGGCUUUUAAAUUAUAAAAACAAUUAAAGAGUCAAAUAAAAAAAGUAGAUAUAUAACAAUAAUAUACUACCAUAAGCUUAAACACAUUAAAAAAAGUCAUGUGACAAAUUACAGCACUAAGAGCAUACAAAUGAUGCUAAAUCAUUGCUCUCUAAUCACAUACUUUAUUAUAUAUACUACAUCAAAUAUAAUCAAUUGCUCAAAUAAAUAGUAGUCUAACAAUAACCUCCUUUGUUCAUCCAUAAAUUUUAAAUUUCAACAAAAUAAUGUAUAUAUAUUCUAACGGCCACAACUUAUUCAUAUAUAUGAAAGGUACAAUCGAUUAAAAUUAAAAUUUUAUUUGAAGUAAUGACAAAAAAAAAUUCAAACCAAUAUACUGAAAACAAUAUGUGCGCAUAUAUGUCUCUUGUCUCUUUUCUAAGGACAGAUUGAAUUACCCAUUUGUCUGUGGUUAAAAAAAAAUGCAAAUUAAAGUUUUAUAGACAGUGAUUCACAUUUUACAUCACAAUUAAGAAGAAAAUGUGUAUAUCUUUUUUUUUUUUGAAUGUAAUGUUAAACUACAUUCAAAGGAAAAAUAACGUUUUUACAGCUAGUGCAACGGUUUAUCGAAAUAAAAAGCUAAGAAUUUUCUAAAUUUGAACAAUUUGAAAGAUUGAAAAGAAUCAACUAUGUGCUUUGAGCCAGACUUGAAAGGCUGCGUCAUACCGUCGAUCUCCCAUACGUCGAAUGGUGGUUAUUUGAUUUGUCACUUGUUUAUCUGCCCAGCCGAUCAAUUGAGCUGAAGAAUUCGGUGCUUCUCCAUGCCGUCAUCCAUUCCUCUCUCUCCAAACAGUAUAGAUAGUGGCUUGGAAAAGAUACCGGAUUAAGAAACCUUCUAUUCGAUUUAGAGAUGCAUCCGAGGUGUGAGCCAAAAUCUGUGACCAGCCCGUUGUGUAUCUGGUUUUCCACAAACUCUUAGUAAGCGCAGCCCAUAUGGUAGAGACAUAGCUACAAGAGAAGAACAAGUGAUCGCGAGUCUCCAUGUUGUUCGUACAAAAAACACAGUUACCCGUAGCACUCCCUUUCCAUUUAACCAUUCGCUCUCCAGUUGAUAGUCUAUCUUGAAUCGGAAGCCAAGAACAAAAUGAGUACUUGGGUGUGGCAUGAGAGAACCACACCCCCUUAUGCCAAGGGACCAUGAGUGAAGUAGCUCUUAUAUAGUUCCAAGUAUCCUUCGUAGAGAAGUUUUCUUUGAACACAUUAUUUUAACCUUUCCAUAGUGCAAUAUCAUCAGCCUCUUUGCGUUUCUGCCUAUGUAUAACUAACACCUCUUCGAUCUCAUUUAAGUGAGCCAUUCGGUGUUUUUUUCGUCGUCUCCCUGUCCACCAGUGAUGACUCUUUACUUAUACCAAGAUCGAUAACUCCCCUCUCGCCUGCAACAUCAAUUAAUCUCCCAAGAGUUGACCAAUUAUCAAACCAGAAGGAUACCGACUGCCCAUUUCCCACAUCAACUUUGCUAAAGGAUUUAGCUAUUUCUCUGUAUUUUAGAAUUUUUUUCCAUAUCCACGAUCCAAUGCUUGUGUUCUGUUUUACAGUCCAAAACGACUUUCUCCAUAGCAGGUAUGUAUCCACCCAUUUGACCCAUAGAGAUGUGCUAUUUGAGAUGAUUCUCCAAAUCAACUUCAAGCAACACACAUCAUUUGCCUCUUUCAAAUUUCGUAAACCCAGGCCCCCCACUGUUUUUGGUUUACACACAUUUCCCCAAGAUAUUUUUGCCUUCUUUGAACUCAUUUCAGUGCCUGACCAAAGGAAAGUAGAGCAAAGCUUGUCUAUCUCCCGAAUGCAUUGGCGAGGAAGACGGAAAGCAGCCAGCCAAAAAUUACAGAUACUCCAAAGAACCGAAUUAAUCAAGUUGAACCGACCUGCAAAAGAGAGGUAGCAUGAUGUCCAAGAAGAAAUGCGUUUUUUUAUCUGUUCAAUGAGAGGAGAGUAGUCCGCAGUCGUGAGUCUUUUGGUUACCAGAGGUAGGCCUAAAUAUCUGACAGCUAAUUGACCAACAUCGAAUGGAAAUUUGGAUGAUAUCUCUUGUCUUACUUGCGGUGGAACUCCAACCAUAUACAAUGUCGAUUUCUCUAUGCUUAUCUUUAAACAAGACCGCUUGUAAAACUCAUCAAAAACCUCCACUAUGCCCUCCAUAGAUCAAACUUUAACAUCAGACAGAACCAUUAAGUCAUCGGCAAAGCUUAAGUGUGUCAAGCCUAGUCGUUUGCAGUUGGGAUGGAAACCAAAGCGUCGCGCACCCACUACCUUAUCUAGCAUCUUAGAUAAAACGUCCAUGCUUAUUACAAACAAAUAAGGCGAUAAGGAGCAUCCUUGACGAAGUCCCCUUGCACUUUGAAAAUAACCUGCAAGAUCUCCAUUAACCUGAACCGAGAACGAGGCCGUAGUAAUACAAAGCUUUAUCCAAUGUAUGAAAGUCGCACGGAAGUUCAUAGCCACCAGAACGUUGACAAGAAAGGGCCAUUGGACCGAGUCAAAAGCUUUUGAAAUAUCAAUCUUUAUGGCGCAACGGCUAGAGAUCGAGUCUUUAUGGUAGUCCUUUACUAGUUCUGUUGCAAGUAACAAAUUCUCAAUGAGUAACCUGUCCUUGACAAAUGCAGACUGAUUUUCCGCAAUGAAUUUUGGUAGCAUCAGUUUUAAUCUAUUCGUAAGAAUCUUCGAGAUAACCUUGUAGAUUACAUUGCAGCAUGAGAUAGGUCGGUAGUCUCUCAUUUCCUUGGCUUCAAGAUUUUUUUGAAUUAGGGCAAGAAUGGUAGAGUUUAUACCUUUAGGUAAAAAACCUUUUACAAAAAAAGAUUAAAUCGCCAAGAUGAAUUCAUUGCCUAUUAUAUCCCAUGUCGCCUCGUAAAACUCUGAAGUAUAACCGUCUGGGCAUGGGGAUUUAUCAUUCGGCAUAGAAAAUAAAACCUUCUUUACUUCCUCUGCCGUGACCUCCCGCAUAAGAAACUCUUGAUCUGUAUGAGAACAACGAAAAUAUAGUAAAUCUUGGAUCUCACUAACCUCUAUUCCCACAUAAUCUUCUGGAAUAAACUGCAAGAAUUCUUUAAAGAAUCUUUCAGCUUCCUUUAUAAUUGUUUCCCCUUUUAACACACUACCAUCAGAACCUUGUAUUUCCUUGACCUGAUUUUUUGCUUCCCUUGCUACCACAGCCCUAUGAAAAGUCUUAUUGUUUUUAUCCCCCACCUGCAUCCAGUGCAACUUCGAUUUUUUCUUUAAAUAUUUCUCUUCAAGUCCAGCCACAAAAUCCCAUCGAAUAUAAGCCACAUUCUCUGCUUCCAUGGAAUGCGUUGACGGGUUAGAUAAGUUCUCCUCCUGUUUUUGACAUAGGGUGUCAUAAGCUUCCUUUGAUUUUUUCACCAGAUUUCCCAUACCUUCCUUAGCAAGUGCCCUUAUCUUGGGCUUAAGUCCUUUUAAAUUCUUGGUGAAGCGGAACAGUGUUGAGGUAGCUAAAAAUAAAGGCUAUGUUUCCCUCCAAAAGCUAUCAAUCAUUGGCUUGAACUCCUCCAUUUCUGGAAGAACAUUGACAAACUUAAAAGGUCUCUUACUUUUCACAUUACCUCCUUCUCCUCCCCUUAGGUUUAUUCGUCCCCGCAAAUGAUCCGAACAUCCUCCAGCCUCAAAAACAGUAUAAGAUUGCGAAAACGCUUGCAUCCAAAUGUCAUUAACCAACACGCGGUCCAGUUUUUUCAAAAUGAGAUCAUUUUCUCUCUUGUUACACCAAGUAUACAACGGACCAUGAGAAGUCAUAUCUGUGAUAGAGCAGUAGCUUAUUAUCUCCUGAAAAUCUUUCAUACUAGAGGUAACCACAGGGUAUGCUUCCGCCUUUGAGUGUUCUUAUAUGUCUAGAGUUUCAUUAAAAUCCCCAAAUAUUAGCCAUGGUUUUUUCUUGAUAAUGGGAGAAUCAAAAUGAUCCUUCAACUCCUGCCAUAGUAUCUUUCGCUCUUCCACUAUGUUAGACGCAUAGACAAAAGAGCAAAAGAAUUUUUUUUCUUGAUCCUCUAGCUUUACUGAACAUGUUAUUACCUGAGCACUUUUGUAGAAAGGACUCAAUCUCACACUACUUCGCCACAAUACCCAAAUGCGACCCCUUUGAUUAUAUUCAUAAUUCGUUAACACCGACCAAUCUUUAAACAACUUGCUACCCAAUCUCUGAGCUUUCUUUUCCUUAACUCGUGUCUCCAACAAGCACCCGAACUGAAAAUUAGAUUCCUCCACCCACUUUUUUAUUACAGAAUGUUUUAAUGUUUUAUUCAAGCCCCAAACAUUCCAAAAGAAACUCGACAUUAACAACGCUUUGGGGGUGGUUUCCUGUUCUGAAUCUUAGGGAGAUCCCUUGUUGAUUGAGAAUAGUUGUUGGAUAUCACCUUAUGAGCAGAUUUUGAUUCUCUAGGUAGAGAUGGUCUCAAGAGCACCUCUUUACCUCCUCGAGUUUUGGUCACCAUCUCCGCAAACUCCGCAGUCUCAUUUCGCUCCACUAGCUCAGGUGGUAUAUUGAGUAGCUAUAUAAUGGAUAUUCAAGGUUAUCUUACAUCAUCUUAAAUCAUCCGUACUAAAAUUAAAAUUAGGUAUACACUAUACAGAAUCAUUGAAUAUAACUAUAUACGUCUUUUAUGUUAUCAAAAACUGAAGUAUAUAUGUACUACUACUUUUAAUUAUUUUGGAAGACUUAAAUAAAGUUAAUGUUGCAUAGGUCAGAAAUUUCGCUUAAAUUCGGUGGAAAUUUUGAGAGCCAUUGAUUUUGUCUGUGCUGUAUUAUAUGCUUUUUUACACAUAUAUAAUGUAAUAUAAUAUUUGUGUGGCCGAUGAGAAAACUAGCCUUGACCUGUGUGACAAUUGGCAUGUUUCUUGAUGUUUUAGUCUAAUUCAAUGUACCAAAAAAAAUUCCUAAUUGCAAAAAUAAAAAUGCAAACCCUAAAAGAUAUGUUAUAGAUAGUAGACAAAACUUAUUUCAUAGUUUUUUUUUCUUGUAUUACAAAGAAUUAUCUGAGAGAAUUUGUUGAAAAGAUUUUUUUAUUAAGAAUCAAAAGUAACUUUACAUGCUAUUUAUAAACAAGUAAACCGUAAACUAUUUACAGUAUUGAACCGGAACAAUUAGAACCGGUAUACUAAACCAAUAGUCCCCCUCAAGAUGAGCAGAAUAUGUUUUGAAGGCUCAUCUUGGAUUUAAGGUGUUCAAAUUGAUGAGGAAAUAACGGUUUAGUCAAGAUAUCAGCCACCUGAUCUUCGGUCCAUACAUGAAGAGUCUUAAGAAGGCCUUGAUCCAAGCGAUCCCGAACCGUGUGGCAAUCAAUCUCUAUGUGUUUGGUACGCUCGUGGAACACGGGAUUAGUAGCAAUGUAUAUGGCGGCUGUGCUGUCAGAAAAGAGAAUUGGAACUGCAGAAGAAGCAACUCUCAAGUCUUUGAGCAGUCUAUGUAGCCAAACCAAUUCACAGGAAGCAAGAGCAAGAGCACGAUACUCUGCUUCAGCUGAAGACCGAAAAACAACUGGUUGUUUCUUGGAGCGCCAAGAGAUUAAAGAAUCUCCAAUAAACAUGCUGAAACCAGUAGUAGAACGCCUACUAUCAGGACAUGUUCCCCAAUCUGAGUCAGCAAAACCACUAAGAGUGAGAUCCUCUGUAGCUGAGUAGAAGAGACCUUGGCCAACAGUGCCUUUGAUGUACUGAAGGACCCUGUAUACUGCAGCAAGGUGGGAUGUACGAGGAGCAGAAGAAAACUGACAUAACUUAUUAACUACAAAAGUUAUGUCAGGUCUUGUGAUAGUCAAGUACAUGAGUUUUCCCACAAUGCGUCUAUACAUUUCUCUGUCAUCAAGCAAAUCACCAUCCUCUUUGGAAAGUCUCAAAUUAGGCACCAUAGGGACAGAGACAGGUUUACAACCUAACAUACCUGUAGAGGUUAAGAGCUCCAAGGCAUAUUUUCGCUGACAUAAUGAGAUUCCUUCAUCAUUCCUGGCAACUUCAAGACCUAAGAAAUAUUUCAAUGGUCCUAAGUCUCUGAGUUUGAAGCAUUCCUUUAAUGUAGCAGUCAAAGAUGAAGCAGCUUCAUUACUAGUGCUGGCAAUCACAAUGUCAUCUACAUACACCAAUACUGCAACAAACUCAGCACCAAUACCUUUGACAAAAAGAGUGUGAUCUCCAUGAGCCUUAAUAAAACCCAAAACAAGUAAUGAUUCAGAGAAUUUCUUGAACCACUGACGGGAUGCUUGUUUCAGACCGUAUAUAGACUUCUUGAGACGACAAACUGCAUUAGGAGGCAAAGAGUCCCCCUUCCUUGCAGCAUAACCCUCUGGCAGUUUCAUAAAAAUUUGUUCUUCCAAUUCACCAUUAAGAAAAGCAUUAGAAACAUCAAGUUGAGUCAAAUACCAUUUCUUUGAAGCUGAUACUUUUAACAAGAGUUUCACUGUGGCCAUUUUAGCCACUGGUGAAAAAGUAUUUGUGUAGUCUAGGCCCUCCUUUUGACUAUAGCCCUUUGCGACCAAUCGUGCCUUAUAUCUCUCCAAGGUACCAUCAGCAUGAAAUUUCAACGUGAACACCCACUUACAUCCCACUGCUUUCUUUCCCGGAGGUAGUGAUGUGAUUUCCCAUGUCUCUGUAGAUUCCAUUCCACCAAUCUCCUUAUCCACAGCUUCACACAUUUCCUUUGAAUUCUGAGCCUCAUAAAAUGAUUGAGGAAUAGGUAUUUGUGUAAUGCUAUUGAUAUAAGCAAGAUGAGAUGGAGAAAUUUUAGAGUAAGAGAGAGAAGAGGAAAUAGGAUGAUUUAUGUUGUGUUGUGUAGAAUAACAGUGAUAAUCCUGUAAAUGAGCAGGAGGUUUUCUGUUUCUAGAUGGAGAAAUUUCUGGUGGUAGAGAAGGAGAAGAUGGAGAAAUUUGUGGAGGAAUGAUACCUGGAAGCUCAGAAUUCAAAGGUGUAAAGAAAUCCAAAGGCGCCUCUGAAACAGUAUUCUUGGCCAAAGGAAAAAUUUCUUCAUGAAACACCACAUUCCUGGAGAUAAAAAUCUUAUGUGAUUCCAAAUCUAGCAACUUAUAUCCCUUGACACCAACCGGAUAACCCAGAAACACACAUGCUCUUGAUCUUGGUUGAAACUUAUGUCGUUGAUGAGGUGAUGUUGAUCCAUAACAAAGACAACCAAAAGUUUUGAGCUGACUGUAGUCUGGUGGCUUACCCGUGAGAAGCUCAUAAGGAGUUUUGUUUGAGAGAAGCUGUGAUGGAGUUCUAUUAAUGAGAAACACAUCAGUCAAAACACAACCUCCCCAAUAAGAUAAAGAAAUUUGAGACUGAAACAACAGAGCCCUUGCCACAUUCAAUAUAUGUUGGUGUUUGCGCUCGACGACUGAGUUCUGUUCCGGGGUUUCUGGACAUGAAUGAUAAGAAACAAUGCCCUUUUCUUGAUAAAACUUUGAAAAUUUCAAUUCAGGAGCGUUGUCUGAUCUUACUGCCUUAACCCGCAAAUUAAACUGAUUCUCAACCAUUGCAACAAAAGCAGGGAAAACUGAAAUCACUUCAUUUUUAGUUUUGAGAAGAUAAAUCCAGGUAGCACGAGAAUGAUCAUCCACAAUUGUCAAAAAAUAUCUAUAACCUUCAACUGUAUCCACUGAAAAUGGUCCCCAGACAUCAAUAUGUAGCAACUCAAAGAUAUCUUUACAAAUAUUGUUUUGAGAUGUAAAAGAUAACUUCUUCUGUUUAGCCAAAUGACAGAUAUGGCAAUAAGCUACUCCUUUAUUCUUGUGUCUAGUAGUCCCCAAAACUGUAGAGAUUGUAUCCAAACGAGAGUAAGAAGCAUGUCCAAGUCUGUUGUGCCAAACACCAACAUCCACCACUGCAUUCACAGAGACUGAUGAAUCCAAAGGAGCUUCAGUGUCCAACACAUACAGGUUUGCAACUCUCCUACCUCUGCCAAUUAUUAAUUCCUUGGUAGGAUCCUGAAUGGUACAAGAAUGGGGAUCAAAAAUUAUGCGGGAACCAAGAGUAUCAGUAAGAGAGCUAAUACUGAUUAAAUUCAAUCUGAACUCCGGAAUGAAUAGAACAUUCUUCAAAUAAAUUUCCUUAUUUAUCUGAAGAGUCCCCACACCACUGAUUCUGAUAGUUGGUCCCGUAGGUAAAUUCACAGCACUGACAAUAGAUGUAUCCAGAGAAUCAAACAUUGAUUUAUCAUGGCACACAUGAUGUGUUGCACUAGAAUCAAUGAUCCAAGAUUCAUUGGAGAGAGUAUGUCUAGAUACUGUAAGUAUGCCAACAAAACAGUAAGUGGAGGAAGAAAAGGAGAUACCAGAGGGAGCAAUAUCAGACUGAGAAGAACUAGCUUCAUUUGUGACUGACUGAUUCUGAAGUUGAGAGCUCAUCAAAGCAAUAAACUGUUGCAACUGAUCUUUGGAAAGAUGACCAACUAAGCUAGCCAAGUUAGUUGGUUGAGAUUCAGGGAGAGGUGACAAAGCAACUUGAGCAGCUACAGGUUGUGGUUUCUGAGAUUUAUCUGGAAAUUUGCCUUUGGGAGUGAAUCCAGGAGGGAAACCAUGUUUCUUGUAGCAUCGUUCCGCUAUAUGACCAACCCUGUAACAGUAAGAACAUAUGGGACGUCCUUUGUUAGGGCCAGAAGUAACAUAGCAGACAGUUGGUUCACCCAGAGCAGAGGGAGGAGUACUUUCAGAUACUUGAAAUGCAGCAGGAGGAGUAGUAACAUUGGAGAAACCUCUCUGACUGUCAUCUUGGUCAAGGAUAUUGUACACCUCUGCAAGACUAGGAAGAACCUUCUUCAUGAUAAUCUGUUUACGGAUGAUAGAGUAAGACUCAUUGAGGCCUACAAGGAACUUAACAAGUUUAGCUCUCUCUGCCUUCAGUUGCAGACGAGAAGCUUUACCACAAGUACAAGGAGCAUCAGGCUCAUCUGUACUAUCAAGAUUAUCCCACAGAGUUUUCAAUUUUGUAUAGUAAUCAGAGAGAGACAUAGAUCCUUGACGUAGAUCUUGAAUCUCCUGAGUGAGAUUGAAAGUCCGGGGAAGAUUUGUGAGAUGAAAACGACCAUAUAAAUCUUUCCAGAUAUCAGCAGCAUCAUUCAGACGUAAGAUGCUACGAUAAAUUUGAGGGGAAACAGAAUUUAACAGCCAUGACUUUACCAUACUAUUGCAGCGUGACCAAAGACGAAAGAGAGGAUCAGAUUCAAGAGGACGAAGCAGAGUACCAUCGAUAAAUCCAAUCUUAUUCUUAGCAUCUAAGGAAAUCAGCAUCGCAGCACUCCAAUCAUCAUAGUUUGUACCAUCUAAGCGAAGAGAAACGAUCGACAAACCUGGAUGAUCGGCGUUGUGCAUAUAGAACAGAGAGUGACUUGGAUCGGAAGGAACCGACAUCGCUUCAGCUCGCGAAGCUCCAGAAGACUGAGAAACAGCUACCGGAGGAGUAUUCGGAGGAGAAACAGCAACGACGGUCGAUCUAGUCCUUUUUCCAGCUGGAUUCGAAGGAGAAUCCGAUGUAGUCUUCGAUCGCAACGAUCGGCAAACCACAGUCUUCUUAAUCACCAUCCUUGAGCAGAAAAUGAUCGAUACAAGAGCUCAGAUCGAGUUCGAUGAUGGCGAAAAUGUCAGAUCUGAGAUUUAGAUCUGAGAUUUGGAUAGCUCUGAUACCAUAUUACAAAGAAUUAUCUGAGAGAAUUUGUUGAAAAGAUUUUCUCAUUAAGAAUCAAAAGUAACUUUACAUGCUAUUUAUAAACAAGUAAAUCGUAAACUAUUUACAGUAUUGAACCGGAACAAUUAGAACCGGUAUACUAAACCAAUAUCUUGAGUAUAUCUAAACCAAAUAAAAAUUAAUAGAGUGACCAAUAUAUUUUAUAUUAGAAAAAAAUUAUAUAAAAAGCCUACAACUUACACAUUUUGGUCCCAAAAAAACAACAAAAAAUUUACCCAUAACUAGAUAAAUGUUCAACUUUGCAUUAUGUAUGUUAGUCGGAGCAAUCCAAACGUCAGCCAAACUUAACAGAGUGUUAAGUUGAGUUUAUUCGAUCCGCCAAAUCUCAAUCUAGCCAAAACGAGCAAGUUAAAUACGCACACCGAGUAAAUUUUUCUCGAAGCACUAGCUAGCCACAUUAUUAAUUAUAAAUUACUAAACUUUGAUUGUAAUCACAACAACAAGAAAACAUUAGUAUCAAGUUCAUUUGGUUCAAUCCGUUCAAUGAUAAGCACAAAAAAAUAUGCUAAAAGCUACUUAAAAAAAAACACAUCAUGAUACAUGCGCUAAGUUUUAAGGAAAAGUAAGAAAUGAAGUGAUCAUUUUAAGAAAAUUUUACAAAGUAAACACAAUAAAGCUGCAGUGCUUAACCAUCUUAAAAAUCUGUUUUGGGUUCGAAAAUGGGUACAAGUGGGAUACACAUUGAAUGGUAAUGUGAUUUAUUUCCAAUUCAUAUUAAUUUUUCUGUUGUGACAAAAGGGAUACACACUUUGCUUUCAGUUAUGUUAACAAUUCAUUGGUAAAGUAUUAUGUUACAUCUUUUUUAAUUUUAAAACAUGUAAAGUUGGGAUUUUGUGCGUGUGUGUGUGGAUCUCUAACUUUCAAAUAAGAUCACAUGCCAAAAAGCUGUUGAAAAUAAGAACAGAAAAAAGGUUCAACAAACUAUUCUCUUUUUCCUCUCCUAAUUCAGACUCUAAUUGGUUUCUUUUGAGAAAUAGAGAUUUUAUUAAGACAAAGAAUACAUUCUUGAACAAGUGUAACAACCCUUGAAUCCUAUGAAACUAAAUCUUAUUAUUAAACCUCAUGUCUUUAAAAAAUAUUCAAAUUUUUGGAUUUGAGACUUCACUUGUUCUUACUAACCUCUAAAAAUAUCGAGUUCAUGUAUAUUACGAAUUGAGUUGCUAUUUAUUCAUUUAAUAAAUUUUAGUUGCAUAUUCCUAGACGUUACCUUUAAUAAAACACCUCUUUCUAGCGUUUGUGGCAUUAUUUCCCAAAUCAGCAUCACAUGCGUUUGUUCUGAGACCAAUUUAUUUUAGGGAAAAUGUGAUCUAAAUAUGACAGAGACAAGCAAUAAAAAUGUAUUUUAACUUUGGGUGACACGACGAAAUACCCAACCUUUCUAUUUCGCCACUAAGUCAUAGUCUCCCAUCGGUAAAGCAACUCUUUGAUCUUUCUUCUACACAUUAUAUCCAUAUGUACAAAGUUUUGUGUGCACAAUUAUCUUUUUCAUGCAUUCUUAUUAAAUUGAUCAACCAUAAUUCUAGGGAUGUUGAUUGUUUUAAACACCAAACAUUUAUCAUUUGGAACACCUAAAAUACCGAAUGUCUUUUACAUUGAAUAUUAGAAUGAUUCUAUUUUAACAUGAAAUAAUGAAAAAAACUAUACCAAAAAUAUGCAAAAGUUGAAGUAUUAUAAUCAAUUCUUAAUCAUUUAAAUCAAAUUUAUAAUGGUCUCUAAUUGUUGAUAGGAAUGUGAAUAUCAUAUAAUAUGAAGUUUGAGGUUUUACAAAAAGAGUUAACCUAGAGAUUGCAACCAUACCAAAAAAGAAUAAAAAACAGUGGUUACAAAGAUCAGUUGAGUGUCAAUCAACAGUUUAGCAGAUCCAAAGCGCCAUUAGGUUCCUGAAUUUCUUCCAGUGCCUUCUGGCCGAGAUAGUAUUGUGCAGCUCUUUCUCGAUGAGGGAGAAUACUGCAUUUGGAGAGAGAUAGGUUUGGUUGUGGAGAACAUUGUUUCUCUGCUUCCAAAGAUGGUACACUGCUGCUUGGCUUGAAAGCUUCCGAAGGAUUGUAGGAGAAGAAGCGGUAUUCAUCCUAGUCCAAGCAAUUAGCGAUGACCAUGCCCAAGCAUGCUUUCAAUAUGUGGGCAACAGAAUUCCCCAAGAGGCAAGGCGGACUCUUGUUGGCAGCCUCAGCAACUGCGCCACCCACAUAUUGAAAGCAUGCUUGGGCGUGGCUCCUUUAAACCAGAUAGAAGAAGCCCAAUCCUUAGGAGUGUUCCGCGGCCUAGUAGAUUCCCACGUAAUUGCAGUAGGAAACAAGUGGUAAGAAUUACCUUGGACAGUCCAGUUGUACCUAUCAUCACCGGCGUCACUACUAGGCGGAGUGAUUGAUGAAAGAUGGGCGUGGAGAGGCAGGGCAUGGAGAGAUCUGGAUGGAGGCAGAAUCCAGCCGUGCUCGUCACAAGCAUCAGCUAUAGAGCAGUGUGUUGGGAGCCUAAGGAGGCUCGGGCCAUCAUGCCCAAAACGUUUGAUUAAAGGACCAAAAUGGCACCAAGAAUCAAACCAAAAACUUGCGUGCCGACCAUUACCCAAAUUACACUUCACAAAAGUCUCAGCUAGGGGUCUUAAAUUCUAUAAAGACUUCCAGUUCCAAGAAUCAUUCACAGAUGCUUUAAGGGACCAGAAACUUUUUCCUUUUAUAUGAUGGUGAUGAUGCCAUGCCACCCAAAGAGAUCCACUACCUGAAAAAAGCAGCCACACUAGUUUCAAGCAGAGGGUUGAAUUCCAAAUACCCAAGCAGCGCAGACCAAGACCUCCUUCCGUCUUAGGGUAGUAGACAUUAGCCCAAGAAACCCUUAUCCCUUUUGAUUUGUCGAUAGAUCCAGACCAAAGAAAUCUGGCGCAGAGAGAUUCCAUCAUUCUUAUGCAAGCUUUCGGGAGAAUAAAUGUUCUAGUCCAGAAGUUUAUCAGACCGUAAAUUACUGAAUUUAUCAGCACCAACCUUCCAGCGUAAGACAGAGAAGUGGUGGUCCAGCUUUGAAAACGUUGCCUCAGCUUAUCAAUAAGAGGAGAGUACUCCGAGACUCUUAGUUUCCUGCUCAUUAAAGGCAGUCCUAAGUAUCUAAUGGGCAAAGAACCGGUGGUAAAUCCAGAGUUAGUAAUUGCUAAGGAUUCCCAAGGUUCUAAGCCAGCGGUAAAAAUCUGUGUUUUCUCACAGUUCAUUUUCAAACCAGAACAGCUAAACAAAAGUAUCCAAAGCUUCUGCAAUACCUGACAAAGACGAUGAGGAGCCAUCAAAGAAUACCAUAACGUCAUCUGCAAACAUUAAGUGAGUAAUGUCCAGCUCCCUAGUUUUUGGAUGGUGAUUUAUGAAACCAGCAGCGAAGCUUGAUCUCAUUAGUUUGCUGAAAACCUCCAUUGCCAACACAAACAAGUAGGGAGAGAUCGGGUCUCCUUGCCUUAAACCUCGAGAACUUCGAAAAUAACCAGAGGUGAGCCCAUUCACAGAGACAGAAAACUACGGAGUUGAAAUACACUGGAAGAUCCAAUUAGUGAAUUUGACAGGGAAGUUGAGGGCUUUCAUAGCAGCAAUGAUGAAGUCCCAUUUCACAGAAUCGAACGCUUUCCGCAAAUCAACUUUUAGCAUGCCUCUUGGCCCAAUAUUCUUUCUGUUAUAGCCAUUAACCAGUUUUGUAGCCAGCAGGACGUUUUCGGCCAGAAGUCUACCCGGAAGGAAAGCAGAUUGAGCGUUGGAGAUAAUCAGUGGGAGAAGAGAUUUCAGCCUGCCAGCCAAAAGCUUAGAAAUCACUUUAUACACAGUGUUUCACAGAGAUAUUGGUCUGAAAUCUUCUUCUACGAUUUUUUAUGGGGUUAAAGAACCAUGAUACGAGUUCUUCUUCUACGAUUGCAAAUCACACCUCAAAAAAUAGCUUGGAUUAAUUUCGGGAAUACUCUAGUUCAUAUUAAACAUCAUAUGAACUUUUCUAAUUAUGUAUAGAAAACUUAUAAAUCUAAAUAAAUGUAAAUAAAAAUUAAAAAAAUAUAGUCAAAAAAGAAGAAGAUGAUCACUGAUUAAUGACUUAAAUGACCCCCUAGAACCGCAUAGUUCCGCCUAGUAACCAAAACGCUUAAUUCCAACGCUUAGACCAUCUCCAUCGACCGUAUCUAAUGAAAAUAUUCUGUAUUAAAUAAUAUUCAAGAACAGAAAAGUAGGAAAAAGAGUCCAUAAUCGACUCUAGAAUGAGAGACGCUCGUCUCUUGUUUAGAUACUACAAACUGUUUCUCAAAAAAACUUUUUUAUGACACAAAGCAUAUGAAAUGUAGUUUCUUGGACCGGGAUGAUUUGCGGUUAGGCAAGGCGGGAUCUUAUCAAAAAGUUUUCAUCUUCCCAGAGGCUUAAUGAUGUGGAUCUUUUUUUUUGAUAAAAAAAAAUGUGCAUCUUAAACAUGACCAAAUAUGGUAUUCAAUCUUCUUGGAACUACAGUAGAAUCUCUAUAAAUUAAUACUCGAUAAAUUAAUAAACUCGAUAAAAUAAUAAAUUUUUCCGGUCCCGAGUUGGGCCAGUAUACAAAUUAAUCAAAUUCGAUAAGAUAAUAAAAUAAUAAUUUUUUUGAAAUUUCUAUGUAAAAAUAUGGUCCCAAUAAUAUCAUAAAUUCAUAAUCAUAUAAAUAAUAUAUAUAUAUAUAUAUAAAUAGAAUAUUAUAUAGGGUAAUUUACAUAAAUGACCCCAAAAAAAAUUUUCUUCUAAAAAUAGCCCCAUAUUUCAUAAAUUCCAGAAAUAGCACCCAAAAGUUUUAAUUAAACAUUAAUUAAAACAAAAAAUAGAAAAUUUGAGAGACUAACCCUAAACGCCUCUGACGCACCCAAAAGUCUCGUUUUCUCUCAUCUUCGACCGACGAUCUCGUCGCCUCCGCCGGAAUCUCGUCACCUCUGCCGGAAUCUCGAACACCUCUGCCGGAAUCCUUCACGGUUCCUCUCUGUUUCGCCAAUUCUUCACGGUUUCCUCUCUGUUUCGCCAACUCUCGGUUCCUUUUUGUUUCGCCAACCCGAUUUUCACUGAUUCUCCUCUUUUCUCUCUGCUUCAUUGUGUUCUAGGGUUUCCUGUAAGUUCUUAUUAUCUCUUAUUGUAUUUCAAUUUCUCUUCUUUUUUGUGUUUUGAAUCGUCUCCAACGAUUUGGUUUUUGUGGGUCUUUUACAAAAAGUAGAAUCCUUUUGUUUUUAAACUUCCUACGGGAGAGUUUCUAGUCUUUGUCCAGGUUAUAAGUAAUCAUCUCUCUGUGAUAAGUUGAAAUCGAUAAAGAUUUUUUUUGCCCAUGUUUCAUCAGAUUUUUAGAGUUAUGCUUGCCUAAGUUUAUAGUGUAGUGUCAUGUUUUAGUUUCUAGUUCUUGUUAGGCUUUUUGAUUGAACUGAAUCUAACAUUUGAUAGCUUAAUAUGUUUCGUUCUUGAUGGUUGAGAUUUAGCUCAUGAAUAGAUUUUUCAGGUUUUGUAUGUUCACUGUGUUGCAUUACUUCUCAAAAAAAUUUUGCUUGCCUUAUGCCUGAAAUUCUACACCAACGACUUUGUUUCCUGUAAUAACCGGGCCACCACUAUUUCCAUGGUUGGUAGUUGCAUCAAUUUGUAUAGUCAGUGGUUUAGUGGAACUUUGAAGGUAUUUUUCAGUUUCAACUCCAGUUACAACACCUUUUGUAACACAUAUUGUUUCACCAACCACAUUUGAGCAAAUCUACUAUACAUUUUUGCAACACUUUUUGGGGUUCCUAAUCGGGUCAAAUUUUGUUUAAUUUUGACCCAGAAAUCUUCAAUCGGAUCUUUCCUUAUUUUUGAUAAAAUUAAAAAACGAAAAUUAAUCAAUAAAAUCUAAAAAAUAAAUAUUUUCUAAUAUGAUUAUUCUCUACAAUUUUUACUAAAAAUUAAAUAAUCUAAAAAUUGUCCAUAUGCCAUAUGUAUAUAUUAGUAAUUAGAAAAUAUAUCUAUAAAAUUAAAUAAUCUAAAAAUUAUAUAUCUAUAAAAAUUGUAGAGAAUAUGCCAUAUGUAUAUAUUAGUAAUUAGAAAAUAUAUAUUUUUUAGAUUUUAUUGAUUAAUUUUCGUUUUUUAAUUUUAUAAUAUAUACAUAUGGCAUAUUCUCUACAAUUUUAUAUAUGCCAUAUGUAAUUUUAUGGUAAUUUUAUUAAUUUUUAGAUUUUAUGGUAAUUUUAUUAAUUACUAAUAUAUACAUAUGGCAUAUUCUCUACAAUUUUUAUAGAUAUAUAAUUUUUAUAUUGAUUAUAAAAACACACACUAAUUUGAAAAAAUAUAUAUAUAUAUAUAUAUUAUAUAAACUAUUUGAAAGCAAACUUUUAAAUUGACUCGAAUUAUAUGUCUUUUAAAUAAAAGUGUUAUUAAAAGAAAUAACAAAAUUAUGUUUAAUUUUACGGGACAUGAUUAUAUGGUGGGACGGGUCGGAUUUGGAUUGAUAUUAAUACGGGAUAAUAUAUCACGGGUGAAAUCCUGGGAUUAACAAAUCAAAAUACAAUUAUACCAUUUUAAACACUAAACAAAACAAAUACAACUUAAAAUUUUCAUUUUUAGUUACAACGCAUGUGACUCGCAAUGUACAACAAAAAAUAUUAUAUACAACAAAUUCAUCAGUUUAUAAAAAGACAAAAAAAAUCAAAUAACUAACCCGCGGUGUACCGCGGGUAACAAUCUAGUAAUGGAAGCAUAAUAAGAGCUAGUUUCAUUAAUUAUCAGCCCUUUAAUAAACAUGACUUGCUAGCAUGAUAUGAUUUCUUGGAUGUUAUGCAGUAUUGGAACUCAUUUGAAAAUAGAAAACGUGAGCACACACCUAUCAUAUCUCUCUUUUAUUCCCAUAUUAUACCCUCUACUACUCCUCAUAUACGAUCAUUUGUAUUGCUAGCAGAUUAUUGUCACAAUGAACAUAUAUUUUUUAAAAUUUCAACUCUAAGUACAAGACCUUUUGUAAUUGUCACUAUCUAAUCAUUAAUUUAAGGCUACUUUUGUUAACCUUAGCUUCUCUUAGAUAGCUUGUGAAUCUAACUUUGCAUCAGAUUAGUUUAUCACUUUAUAUCGUCACAUAGGUAUAAAUUCAAGUUUGUGAUUCAAGUUUCUUUACUUGUUUCUGUAGUGUUAUUGUCUAUUCUGUUUGCUUGAUAGAGUUGUUUUAGUUUGCAUUCUAGAAUGGUCUUCCUGAUUCGGGAAGGAUUUAUAGUAAUUCGGGAAGAUCUUCCUGAUUCGGGAAGGACUUAUAGUAAUUCGGGAAGGUCUUUCCUGAAUAUAUCUGUUUACUGAUUUCCUUUAAUUUUAAUUGCAGGAAAAUGGGAGAUUCGUUUCCAACAGAUGUCACACUGCCAAAGCUUCUGUACAAUAUAGGACAGAAGCCAAAUUCAGAUGUUAGGAUAAAUCAAUGUGCAAGAUAUGAGUAUAUCGAUAAAGUACAAACCAUCCUCUCUUCUACAGAGUUUCAGAGAAUCAGAGAAUCGUUUUUAGGACCCGUUCUGAAGGCUACAUCAAGGGAAUUAAAUCUGUCAUGCAAGUUGAUCCAUUGUUUCUUGGCGAGAAGCUUAAUGACAGUGAAGAAGAAUGAGUUGUGGUUUCAUUUUGGGGGCCAACCUAUGGAUACUGGAUUGAUUUCAUAUGGUUACUGGAUUGAAAUGUUCUCCCCAGGAAGCUGAUGAAAAUGUGGAGGAUAAUCGCUAUGGUUGGGCAAAUACCAGUCAGCGACACACAUCUGAGGAGCUGUUAGACAUAUUGAGAAAGACUAAUAGGGAUUCAGGGGACGAAGAUUCCUUCUUGCCAUGCUCCUGUUGACGGAGUGUAUCUUUCUCAACAUGUUUAAAGGCAACAAAUUUCCUGCAACUCACCUUAAGAGAGCUCAAGAUGUUCAUCAAUUCCUCAACUAUCCACGGGGGAUAGAUGCUUUCAAGGUGUUGUUGUCCUCGAUUAAGUCUAUUGUGCCAUCUAAAUUGUUGAAGGGUAAGUAUGAUAUCCAAGGGUAUCUGUUGGCUCUCCAUCUCUGGAUUCUGGAGUCCAUUCCAGUGUUGCAAUCAAGCUUAAGCAGAGUGAGUUUGCUCGAGCCUUGGACUGCAUUCAUUUGUGAGAGGUACACAAGCACAACAACUCCACAAAUUCCGCAAAUAGAAAACUUAGAAGCUUCAGACAAUGUAAGUUCAUUCUCUGCUUUUAACUUAAUGGAAGAACUUAGAGAAAUUCAGGAAGUAUUUAUAGUAAUUCAGGAUGGUUUCGGAAAGUAUUUAUAGUAAUUCGGGAUGGUGUUCCUAAAUAUGUUCACUACAGGAAAAUAGAGUAUCUUUAGCGGCCGAAUAACGCUAUCUAGCGGUGGAAUUUGUGGACUAGAAAGCGCUAUAUCUGCGCCCAUGAUAAUUGGUCGACGGCUUCCGAUAGCGGUUUUUGGUGGUGCUAUAUUUUGUUUACAUAUUAUAGCUUGUUUUCUUAUGUAAUUUAAUAUUAUAUAAUAGCGACUAUAUUUUUUUAUUAAUUAUCAAAUUACAGCAUUUGUUAUAUGCAAUUUAAUCAAUUAGAAUAGCAUUUAUAAUACGCAAUUUAUUCAAUUAAAAUAGCAUUUGUAUUAUGCAAUAUAUUAUGGUUUUCUUUUUGUUUUGGUUUUUGUUUUUUUUUGCACUAUACAUAAUUUUCAAUCCGGUUUGACUAUACAUAAUUAAUGAAGAAUAAUACAAUUAAAUAAGAACUCUAGUUUGACUACAUUAGUUUCAAAACCAAACCGAAAUAACUUUAUUUGUGUCACACAACCAUAAAUUUCAACUUAAGCUACCUAACAUUAUCUUGCUUCAGACUAAGAGCUUAUCGUUAGGCUCAUCAAUAGUAUGACUUCUACACCUUCAUGUCCAAAAUCUUUUUCACAGUCUUGAUGUUGUUAAUUAACCUCUGCAUGAAACAAAAUUUUAAGAAUUUAAGAGCAAAUUAACAUCAUGUGAAACCAGAGUAAUUAUCAUGCUAAAUCAGAUUAAUUUCAGACCAAAAUCAUAGAUUAAGCAAACAAUUAAACAACUAAACAUCACAGAAUAAGAAUAAACAUCACAGAUUAAGCAUUUCAUUCAUAGAGGAAAAAUGAAUCCUUAUCCCUUGCAGAUGAAUGAGAUUUUAGAAAAAAGAAACAUAUGGAGAGAGAAUAAAUACAAACAAGUAUGACUAUUAAUGUUUUCACUUAGACUAAUAUUCAAAUAGUGAGAUAGAGUCACAUCAAACUCUUCAUCUAAGCACAAAAUUGAACUAAACAGACUAAUCAUGCUCAUCUAAGAGCAAGUACGAAUGAAUCUAGCUUGAAAUUACUUAGGAGAAGACAUCAAAUUGGUUUACAUAGAGACAAAGCCCUCACAUUUGAGAAACCAAACCUAGUCAAUUUGACUAACCACAAUAUAUAAUGCAAACGUUAAGGACUCACACAAAACCAAAUCGUUAAGGACUCGCACAAAACGUGUAAAGAAGAGAGGUUGUCAAGACGUGUAGGCCACAAAUUUUUUUCUGAAGGACUCACCAACUUGAUUCAACUAACGUCUAAUUGUUUUCUGAAAUUUUUUGCCACAAAUUUAUUCAAACUCACUUGGAAACCAAAAUCAAGACACCCUCACAACAACAAAAACAGAACAUGUCUACUAAGUAAGACUGCAUGGAGUGCAUAAAAACGUUGUAUAGAAACAAACAAAAUAGUAAGCACCUGCAAGUUUUAACAUCAACAACACAAAACCUAAAUUAACACAAAACAGUUAAGAAACAAGCAAGCCAAUAAUGAGGCAAUUCGUCGAACACCUGGAGGGCAUGAAAAGCAUCAUCAGAACAUAAACCACUCCACUCCUGCCAAAAGCUUCUAAGAAAUCAAUAUAAUCCAAAUCGAUCAAACCCUAACAAAAUCUAACCCAAGUGCUCAUGAAUCUACUGAACCAUAACAAAAUCAUACCUGCGACAAAGAUGUUUUGGGGUUUCUGGCCAACGAAAUCAAAUGCUAUGGUUUAGGGGAUCUGGACGAGCGACGAAGAUGGAGGAUGAAGAAUUCAUAGAAUUUAAGAAGAAGAAGAAUUUGGGGAUAAGAGCGAGAAUGACAAAGAGUGAUAGAAAUUGAUAAAAUCCAAUAGAUCUAGGGGUGUAUAAUCAUAGGAAAAGAGUGAAUGGGUAAAGGAGAGGUAAGGAGAAGGGAAGAAUCAAGGAAGAAGGGAAGAAUCGAGGAAGAGAGCGUAAAAGAGAGAAAGAGGAUAGAGAAGAUAGAAAUUAGGUUUUGAUUUUUAAUUUGAGCUUUUUUUUAUUGUUUGGCUAAGUGUUGGCGGUCUGGGCAAAUGUUUCGUUAAAUAUUGGCGGUCCUAAGUGAUCCUCUUCAGGAUCAUCAAACUCAAUUCAACUCCCACCUCUUCCAUCACAGCUCCAACGUCAUGAAAGCUGAAGAUUGGCGAAGAGGAUCACUUGACGUUGGAGCUGUGAUGGAAGAGGUUGCUAUGAAAUCUUAUAUGUUCAGUAACAAGGAGGCAGUGCAACUAUCUUCAUCAGGCGAGUCAUUUAUGGAGAAGCUUGACAAGCUAUACAAGCUAGUUGAAGAUGGGUUCAAAUCAACAAAUCAACGCUUAUCAAAGAUGGAGAAGAAGCUGAGAAUACUUAGUGCAAGAAAAAAAAAAAGAUCAGGUAACAGAAGCUUCUUAAAAAACUUUAGUGAUGUUAUAGAAACUGAAAUGAACGGUUUGAUUUCUUCUUGUAGAGGGAAAGACCAGAAACUCCAUCUCCUAGGGAAAAUGAUUUCUUUUUCAACAAUCCCCCAUCUCCUACCGCUACUGAACAACCAGCUGAGAAAGCAGAUGAGCAAGCACCUGAUCAAACAACUGAGCAACAUACUGUCCCUCUUACUCAGACUUCCCAGACUCAGAAGACGAUCCAAACAGAGGAGAUAACCCAGAAGAUUAGUUCUACAAAUGAGGUAAAAUAAAGAUUUCUACAGCUUUCUUAAAUCUUAAACUUUGUAAAAAAGCUAACUCAAAUAAUUACUGUCUUGGAUUUGAAGAUGAACAAAGAUUAGACAAAUGCUGAGAACUAAACACAGGAGGUAACCCAGGAUAUCAAUUCUUCAGGAAACAAGAAUGAAGAUAAUGUUGGCAAUAGAAUGAAUCAAAUGGAUGGAACUAAUGAACAACAAGACAAUGAUCAACAUGAUGAGGUGAGUUUUCUUUGUUUUACAGUGUUUAGGAACAUAUUUCCUGAACUUGUUAUAUUUGUUGCAGAGAGAUAAUGUUGACAAUGGAGUGAAUGAAAAUGAUAGAGCUGAUGAACAAGAAGACAAUGCUUAGCAUGAGGUGAGUUGUGGUUUAUAGUAAUUCGGGAAGGAUUUAAAUUGAGUUUUUACCUUCUGGUUUUCAUGUGCAGCAGAGAUAGAAGAAUCUCGAGCAGGAGGCAAAAAUAAUGAAUCAUUGCCAUGUCCUUUUUUAGCCAUUGAACAUGUAUCACUUGGCGGCACAGAAACUGAGAUGUCACUUCCAGUUGAUCGAUGAAGUUCUUGCCAGAAGAUCAAAUGUAAAUAAUUUAGUAUGUAGUGUAAGUCUGACCACAGUUAAUACAAGAAAGAGUCAUAUACGUUUUUACUUACCGUUACACACAAACGAAUUAUUUCAGGAUCUCUUUGUUUCUUCUUGAUGAAAGUGCAAACUUGGCGAUCAUUCCGAAUACAUAUUAGUAGAGAAUCUUCUAACAUCAGCUUCAUCCUUGGGGGAAGUUCAUAGCUAAGGGAAAUAUCUUUGACUAAGUCCGAAAUCUUCAAUAACACUCUCAACUAAUCCCUUGUAUGAAAUAUUCUCAUCUACCUCACAAAGGGAUCCACCUUUCUCUGUGUCUACUAAGAAAACCCACUGAAGCUUUUCAUUUUGUUUCCACUUCCCACAAACAGAGUAUAUCUCCACCAUACCUAAAGAAAGCAACAACCAAAUACAAUGAACAAACUAGAAGAUCCAUCAGAAUUCGUAAAGCAUCUACUUAUCAACAGUUUCCAAUUACAAGUCUCAUCUACUUAAGAUUUCUAAUGCAAUCAAGCCCAACAAUGAAAAAGGUAAGAGAUGAACAAUGACACAUCAGAAUUCUUUGUGCUGAAUCAAUGAACGCACCUAUAAUUCGCCUAAUUCCACAAUAGAAAGCCAUAAUUCAACAAUAAACGCCUAAUUUUGUCAACACGAUUGGGGAAGAUGAAGAAGAAAAAAUUGGUGAAAGAGAUCGAUUUAGACCAGUUUGAAGAUCGAAAAUAGGUGAAGCUUUCUCCGUCGCCGGCAGAUCUCCGUCGCCGGCAGAUCUCUCCGUCGCCGGCAGCUCUCUCCGUCGCCGGCAGCUAUCUCCUGAAAUCGUCUCUGUCCGUCGCCAGUUAUCGUGGAGUGCUAUUUUUUCCCUUUUGUUUAUUAAAUUUUUAAAAAUAAAUGAGUGUUAUUUUUGUCAAAUAAACUAGGAGAUGCUAUUUGUGUCACAAAAACUUCAUUUAAGGCUAUUGGAGACCAUUUUCGGUCUAACUUUUUCCGCCAAAAAAAUCCACGAAAUUCAAGAAGGAUAUCAAGAAAUUCAGAAAGGAUUCCUUGAAUUUCAGGAAAGGAUUCCUGAAAGGAUUGCACAAAAUUUAGGAAGUAUUCAACGAAUUCAGGAAGGAUUCCACGUAAUUUAGGAAGGAUUUCAUGAAUUCAUGUCGUGAAACCCUUCCUGAAUUACGUGAAAUCCUUCCUAAAUUUCGUAGAAUACUUCCUGAAUUUUUUGGAUUUUUUUUUGGCGGGAAAAGUCGGACGGAAUUUUUUUGGCGGGAAAAUUUUGACGGUUUUUUUUUUCGGGAGCAGAAAAUAUUUUUGCGGGAAAUUUUGACAGAUAUUUUUUUUGCGGGAAAAUUUUGACGGGAUUUUGUUUUAGCGGGAAAAUAUUAGCGAUGAAGUUGUGAUUUUUGGUAUCUAUUUAUAAUUAUUUAUUAAUUUAAAAAAUCAAAAAUAAGGUUUAUAAUUAUUUAUUAAUUUAAAAAAUCAAAAAUAUAGGUAAAUUAAUAUCAUUAUAAAUUAAUAAAAUACCAUGGCCUCAACAUUAUUAAUUUAUAGAGGUUUUACUGUAUAAGGUCCAUUAAUUUACUGCAGGAUACGCACAGUGAUGAUUAAAUUAUUUAAUAGUUGAGUGAAAAAAAAAAAAGAAUCCAUAUACUAUUUACAUAUAUGCUUCUUGUCUUUUUCUUUUUAUUUUGGUGGGCUGCUUCUUUUUCUUUUUAUUUUGGUGGGCUGCUUCUUUUUCUUUAUUAAUGUAAAUUGGACUAAGAAAAAAAAAAAGUAAUACUAAUAAACAAGAUGGGGCAAACGAGAAUAACUCAAAACCCUAAUUUUCUACUUACAGAACCUGGGGAGAUCACAAGAGAAACAAUGAUGAUGUCUGAUCUUCCGGUGGAUUUGUUAGAAGAUAUUUUCAAUAGACUCCCGACCACGUCUCUGAAAGGACUACGAUCCACUUGCAAACUAUGGAACGGUUUAAUAAAAAGAAACCCAAGAUUUCUCGAAGCUGCAAAGAAGCCUCUGGUUCUCAUUUUGAGGGAUUAUAGGGUUUGGCGAAUGAGCGUCAAUCACGACGUCGCUGCUCCAUCUAAAGAAUUUGAUGGUGCACUUAGCCUAAUGGAUCCACAUUUUAAGUCACAACAAGUCGAUAUAGCUGGCGUUUUUCACUGCGACGGUUUGUUGUUAUGCACCACCGAGGACGAUAGACUCGUGGUUUGGAAUCCGUAUUUAGAGGAAACCAGGUGGAUCCAACACAAAACUGAUCACAAGAGAGACUCUAAGUUAGCUCUAGGAUAUGAGUAUAACAAGCCUAGUCGUAGCUACAAAAUCUUGAGGUGUUGGGAUGGUUAUGAACCAUGUUGCUGCGGUUGAAAUCUAUGAGUUUUGCUCUGGUUCAUGGAGGGUUCUUGAUAACGACCCUCUGGACUGCUUCAUAGAACCAAAUACUGGUGUUUCUUUGAAAGGAAAUACUUACUGGAUUGCUUCGGAUGAAGUAACAAAUUUCUUACUCAGUUUUGAUUUUACAACGGAAAGAUUCAAAAGUUUUUGUCUUCCACCAAUUCAGAAUUUUGGGAAGAUAGUUCUAUCAGUUAGAGAAGAACAACUCUUAGUGUUACUUCAGAGCUAUCAUGCAUUAGAGAUGGAGAUUUGGAUGACCGAUGAUAUUGAUACUGAAUCCGCCUUGUCGUGGAGUAUAUUCAUUAAAGUGGAUUUCAAAAACCUCUCGACUUAUUAUUGUUUUCCGGUUUGCUGGAGUUUUUUGAUGCAUGAGGGGAAGGAAAAGGCCUUGUGUUGUACUAUAGGUUCUUAUGAGACCAGCAGGAACAUGGUCAACAUUACUGGACUGCACGAUCAAUAUUACGCUGAAAUCCCUGAUGAAGAUUCUACAAAUUGGCAGCGCCCGAUUAUCUUCAGUUAUGUACCAAGUUUGGUUCAAAGUUAGCAAGGUAGUGGACAAAAGAAAAGAAUGGAACUAGUCGGUACAAGUAAGGUUUGUGUUGUAGAACCUAUUUUUUUUUUUUCGGUUUCAUGUUUCUAGACAAUGUCAUUUGAUUAAUUAGUGAAUUGAUUUAACUUAUGAUUCAUUUCUUCUAUCCAUUACAUUCAUUGCCUCUUCUCUUUUUGCUUUUGCCGCCGCUGUCUCGGGAGUUUCUUCUCCUUGUGCUGGUUCGGCUGGCACUCCUUCUUCAACCACAGACCAUAGUUUUCUGGUCUUGAGAAUGGUUGUCAUCUUAAUGCUCCAGAAGUCGUACUUCUCCCCAUCGAAUAUAGGAAUCACUUGAUGUGAAGAGCCUUGCAUCGUUUCGGCUUAUUUUGCGAAACGUAUACGAAAAACUUUUGCCUUUUUCUUGCUGUGAUUGUUUGUGCUUUCUCUCUUUGUCCUCUCAAUCGAUAAGCUCUGAUACCAUGUUAGUCUUUUGAAGGAAUGAGAAAAAAAACAGAGUAAGAACAAUGGUUGUAACUUGAUCUUUAUUGAUAACUUGAAAAAGUAUUACAACUCGAGUAAUAUGUUUAACAAUCACACGUUCUAGAGUAUUUAAACAAACCGAACAGAUGUGAUGUGUAAAUGAAAGAACACAACUCUUAAUCUAAAAGACACAACCUUAAAACAGAGUAUUUGUGCCUCUUGAUCAAGUAACUAACUAAUGUGAAUAUAACUAACUUAUACGAGAUUUUGAUUAUAGUUCAACAGUUCUUAUCCCAACUGACUCGCUUUUGAUCAAAGUUUUAAACCAAUAUGCAAAUUUGAACCUGCACUUUGCGCUUGUACUCUGUGAAUGUAUGUGUUAAUAAGUGGAGGAACAUUGUCUGCACUGGGGUCAAAAAAACUCUACUAUAGAGUCCAAGAAGAAAACAAUGGUAAAGGAUAUAUGACCAACAAGAAAUUAUCAGUUGAAGAGAUACGUAACCGAAUUUCAAUUGAGAUCGCUUCGAGAUAGAAUAUAUAAAAAUAACCAGUUGGAGAGUUAAAGAUCUCACAUCUUAAGGUUUGAGUCAGUUUAGAGAAGAAGACAAAAGGGAAAAAGGUAUAGAAUUGUUUUCGUAUGUAUUUACUCAAUUAUAAGUUCCUCUAUCUGUUUAUAAAUUACGGGUGUCGUUAGUUGUUUUUCAUGUAUCGGCUUGCUUUAUCGAAUUUAAGAGACUGGUAGAAAGAUAUCCCUAAUUAGUUUUAGUAUAAACAGAAUCGUCAAAUAAUCCCAUGGUUUGUUAACUUUGUUUCUUUCUAGUUAUUUAACUUUGUUAUUCUCUCUCUGAAGACAUUAACGUUUUGCUAUCGCAUGUAUCUUGUAAUCCAAGCGAAGAUGUCAUUAUCCUUUUAUCUCUGCCUUUACUUGGUUAAUGGCUUAAACUGAUUCGAGUUUGUCUUUGUUGCAUGGGAUUGUUAUGGUUUGAUGGUCUGAUUAAGCUUGGGAAAUCUUGUAAUGUUUGAUAAGAAAACAGGUUCUCCAAAUUGAUGUCGAUAUGUUAAACCCUCCACCAAAGCUUGAGAAGAGGAAGAACAAGUGAAGUACUAUAUAUAAUAAGGUUAUAUACAACUUUAUCAAAAGAUCCGCUGUAGCACUUUGGCUUAAGUAUUUAUCUAGAUUGUCUAGAAUUGAUUUCCGGGUUCGAAGCCCGGCAGCGGAAUAUAUUUUUUGUACGUUUUAGGUUUUUUUGUCUUUAGCAAGAAACCGAAACGGCAGCGUAUUGUCUUCUUUUCUCCCAAAACCUUCAAAAUGCAGACUGCGCCUAGCAGUCACGUUGGAUUUGUGAAGGAAGCUCAUUUAGUCAUUUGUACUUAGAAAGAGAAAGAAGUUGACUUGGAGUUCCAUAGUGAUGAGAGAUUGGCUAUAGCUUACGGUCUAAUCGACAACAAAAGUCCAAUAAGGGCUGUGAUGAAUGCUAUUCUGUAACUAAAUUAAGUGUCUCGUAUCUAUGGACGAGAAAUUAUUGAGAGAGAAAACAGUAGAUUCCAUCACUUCAGAUACGGAUCUUUUUCUUGCAACAAGUUAAAUGCUAUAUGUAAACUUGUAUAUAGUCAUAGAAAAAGACCCGUUGUAGUACAUUGGUUAAACAAUUGAUCUAGUUCAAUUGAACAUGAGAUCCUGGUUCCAAGCCUGAUAGCGGAAUAUAUUUUUGGGGAAAACCGCCUUUUUCAACCUCAACUAUUUGCAGGCGGGUUUUUCCAACCCAAACUAUUACCCCUAGUCGAUUUCAACCCAAACCCAAAAUUAAUUCAAAAUCGAAACCUGAACUAAUGCAAAUGAGCCGAUUUAACCACGACACGGAACGGUGUUAGUUCGGAAGUUAACGGUUACUCAACCUUGGGUAAUUCUCUCUCUACAACAUUCAUCAAACUUUGAAAAUAAAAUCAAAUAACUUUGAGAACUGUUAACUUCCGAACUAACAUUGUUUCACGUCGUGUUGAAAUCGGCUCAUUUACAUUAGUUUAGGUUUUGAUUUUGUAUUAUUUUUGAGUUCGGAUUGAAAUCGACUGGGGGUCAUAGUUUGGGUUGGAAAAACCCGCCAGCAAAUAGUUGAGGUUGAAAAAAGCCGUUUUCCCUAUAUUUUUGUUACCUUUUAGCUUUUUUUGUUUAUAAAAAGAAAAUGAAAAGGCAGCGUAUUCCUCUGCCAACAACAAUUAGCUUUGUUGUACUACAUUGAUCUAGUCUUAGUGCUUGGAAAUAACUGAGAAGCCACAAAAGCUUUUAGUGAGUACUGUUACCGUUUCUGUUGUGAAGAUCAAGCACAUAAUUAAAAAAAAAACUUAUCAAUUACAAGGUUCCUGAUCUGGAACAAUAAAUUACAUGGAGAAUAUAUGCAAAAUUCUAGGACUCUGGCUAAAAAUACUCGUUUGAAGCAAAGAAAAAAAUACAAGGUUCCUGAUCUGAAACACAACACAAAAGUUUCUUGAAAGACGAUAAGUUUCUAUGAAAGUCUCUAUGAAGCUCCGUGCGAAGUUCUCCGCGAAACGGCCUAGGAUGAUCUUUGUCAAACCCCAUACGAAGCUCUUUACCAAGCACUCUACAAAGAUUCCUCUGCUUAAAGUUUUCCCUGUGAUGAAAUGAUAAAACCAAAUUUAUGUAAACCAUAUAAACACAACAAUUGUCUACAAAAACAAACCAAAUGAACACAACAAAUUAAAGACAGUAAACCUGAUCCUUCUUCAACUCAUGACUAAUUUGGACAUGUCACUUUGUUAUGCCCUUCUUCUUUACAGUUGGAACAUGUCAUAACACGACCAUGACCUGACAAUCUACUCUUCUUUGAUGUGGAUUCAUGAGGCUGUAAAGUUAAUGAAUCACAUUUAUUGUUAAUAUAUAUAUAUAUAUAGUGCAAAUAGGAAUACAAUUCAAGAGGGAACUGCCUCACCAUUUUCCUCUUCUUUGGCUUCACAUUGUCCAUCAUACCGCAUUCUUUUCUUUGUUACAACUUUUUUAAUGUACCCCGCAUUCUUUUAUCGCCCAUUUGUCAUUGGAGAUCACAAUUUCAAAGAAAAUCUCGUUUGAAGUCACACUUGAUUCUAUUUCAAAGAUGUAUAAAUUAAAUGCUCCGUUAAAGAGAGAAUGUUGAGCCUAUGCUGCUUGUCCAUGAUCCCACAAUGUACAGACACCCUUUUUCCAUUACCAGCUUUAACUUAACCAUUCUUCUUACUAACCAGAAUAAUGCAAACCUUAAAUAUCAAGGUUGAACAGAAAGGCCUCUCCUUCAACUUCACUACUAGAGAACCUCCACUAGCUCGAUAGGUGAAGUAGGUAGGUAUAUCUCCACCGGGUAAGACCGUAAGUUGAGUCGAUGUCUGGAUGAUGAGAUCUCUUGCUUCUUGAUUUAGUUUAAAGCAAUUAUCAAAGUUGAGACUGAUAUAUGGAUUGUGGCAGGAGGAAUAUAGUCUCUCUAAAGACUCACAAUUUUCUGCGAAUGGAGAAACUUUUUUUCUUUUUGAAUCAUGCCCGGUGAUGCUGUCAGGAGUAUGCAAGAAUUCCUUGAGGUUUUUGCAAUAUGACAUAUCUAAUGUCUCAAGACGCAAACAUGACCAGAUAAAUGAAGGCACCACUUCUAUCGCAGUUCCACUGAGAUAGAGUUCUCUGAUGUUUGUGGAGAUCUCAGGAAAACAUCUUAACGACGAGCAGCCACUAAGAACAAGUCUAUCGAGAGAUUUCAAGUUGACGUUGCCCGGAAGAAUCUCUAACUUGGAGCAUCCUUUCAUCGCCAACAUCCUCAGUUUAUGAAGGUUUCCAAUAGAGGCCGGGAUAGCCACAAGACUUGAGCAUCCAUUAAAAUCCAAAUAAGUGAGAUUAAUUAGAUUUCCAAUACAUGUCGGGACUUCCACAAGACUUGAGCAUUCACUAAAAACCAACACGUCGAGAUUAAUUAGGUUUCCAAUAGAGGCCGGGACAUCCACAAGACUUGAGCAGCCAUAAAAAUUCAAACUUUCAAGCUUAAUGGCAUUCCCAAUAGAGGAAGGGAUUUGCAACAAACUUGUGCAUGUAUUGAAAGAGUAGAUAUUCCCACCAUCUUGAUUCAUUAUGAAAUUCCCAAUAGAGGAAGGCAGCUCCACCAAACUUGAGCAUCCUCGGAUAUCUAAAUCUAAUUUAGUUAAAUUUCCAAUAGAAGAAGGAAGCUCCACAAGACUUUUACAAUCCCUGAGAUUCAAUGUUUGGAGAUUAGAAACAUUUCCGAUAGAGGAAGGGAGCCUCACUAGACUUGUACAAUAACUGAGAUUCAAUUUUUGGAAACUAGUAGCAUUUCCAAUUAAGGAAGGGAGCUCCACCAGACUUGUACAAUAACUGAGAUUCAAUGAUUGGAGAUGAGUUGCCUUUCCAAUAGAGGAAGGGAGCUGUGCCAAACUUAAACAAUCUCUGAGAUUCAAUGUUUGGAGAUUAGUUGCAUUUCCGAUAGAGGUAGGUAGCUCUACCAAACGGUGACAAUCACUGAGAUUCAAUGUUUGGAGAUUAGUUGCCUUUCCGAUAGAGGAAGGGAGCUCUACCAAACUUAAACAAUUUCUGAGAUUCAAUGUUUGGAGAUUAGUUGCAUUUCCGAUAGAGGAAGGGAGCUCCACCAAACUUGAACAUCCACUGAGAUUCAAUGUUUGGAGAUUAGUUGCAUUUCCGAUAGAGGAAGGGAGCUCUACCAAACGGCAACAAUUACUAAGAUUUAAUGUUUGGAGAUUAGUUGCAUUUCCGAUAGAGGAAGGGAGCUCUACCAGACUUGAACAUCCACUGAGAUCCAAUAUUUUGUGAUUAGCUGCAUUUCUAAUAGAAGAAGGUAGCUUCACCAGACUUGAACAAUUAAUGAGAUAUAAGUCUUGGAGAUUAAUUGCACUCCCAAGAGAAGAAGGGAGUUCAACCAAACUUGAACAUCCACUGAGAUCCAACUUUCUUAAAGUAGUUGCAUUUUCGAUAGAGGAAGGGAGUUCCACGAGACUUGAAAAAUUACUUAGAUAUAAGUCUUGGAGAUUAAUUGCAUUCCCAAUAGAAAAAGGGAGCUCCACCAAACUUGAACAUCCACUGAGCUCUAAUAUUUUGAGAUAAAUGGCAUUCCCAAUAGAGUAAGGGAGCUCCACGAGACUUAUGCAACCAUUAAGAUAUAAUUCUUGGAGAUUUGUUGCAGUCGAGAGAUCAGGAAGCUCAUUCAAAUAAUGAGAGGAUCUCAAAUUCAUCCACUUGAGAUUUGCAAGUGGCUGUACAGACAAAUAACAAGAUCACAUUUAUACACUGAGCAUUAUAACACAUAAAAAGAAUACGCAUGGAACAAAAAGAGCACAUUCCAUGCUUGAGUGUUUAAUAUAAUUAAAGAGCGAGUGACAAGAUCAGUCAAUUAAUAUUUUCUUUAAAUUAAAUAUUUUUAACCUUAAAAGUGUCACUAACACUAUAAACUACCAACAUAGUUUUACUAAGGGAAAUUGAACAGACUAUACCUCGAAGAGUCGUUAUUUAGGUGCCCAAAAAAGCUACUGUUUGGCUGGAACUGUGUAUGUGGAAAUUGCGUAUGUACCCCUAUAUAGCGGGAAGAUCUUUUUAUACUGUUUGAAAUAUAUUGUGUUAGACGGCCGUAUUAAAAUCUUAGUAGAUCAUUAUUUGUCUGCGCGUGUUGUAUUUUUGGUUUUCCUUUAUUUAAUUGGUCUUGGGGAAACGAGUCGUCGUUAUCCUUUUUCUUCCAUAUGGAGAGUCGCAUCCCUUUUUCGUCUUAGUAAAACACAUUGCUUUUCAGAGAAUCGAAGCGCUUUCGUCAGCCUAUCUUCUGUGUUGUUUCAAUUCGCCGUAGUAAAAUUCUGUUUGUCGCAGAGCCGGAGUAAAUUUCCUAUCUAUACUGACUAGGUUUUUUCGGAGUCUGAUAAGAUUUUGUUAUAUGAUUGUCUAACUGCGGUUCACAUUUUUCUUGUUAGAUGCGAGAGAUUGAACUUCCGAAUCGUUUGAUCGCUGAUGGAGAAGAACCCCUUGGGGAAAGUGUUAAUGUAUACCACAAAAUCAAAACACUAUGCGGCAUUAUUGAAGCAUUGGAUGACGAAGAACGUGAGUAUAUUGCGGGUACUUCGCUUGGUGGGAUUUUGGAUUUUCCUAAUAAGCCGUCGUGGUCUGCGAGUUUUGGUAUUUUCCUUUUGAGUCGCCAAUUGGAUGUAGCGAAACCCAAUGAGAUUUGGGUUGUAUACGCCGGCACGCCUGUUCGUUUCUCGAUGCGGGAGUUCAAAAUUGUUACUGGUCUUCCCUGUGGUAAGUACCUGUCUCGGAAAAAGAAGAAGAUAAGAGGGACGGCUGGGAAAAAAAUUCCUUAUUACAGCACUUUGUUUGGGCUUGAAGAAGACGUGACAGUGGAAAGGGUUGUCACGAUGUUGAAAAGGAGGAUUGUCUCUGAUAGAGACGUAAGGCUGAGAUACGCGUGCCUGGCCAUUGUUGACGGGUUUCUUCUUCCUACCUCUCAUUACCCCAAAAUAAUGAAGGAACACGCUGAGAUGUCUGAAGAUUUGGAGGGUUUUCUUGCUUAUCCUUGGGGGCGGAUGUCCUUUGAGAUGAUGAUGACCUCAAUUAAAGAGAGGGAAGUUGAGCAACUCGCUACUACUUGUGUCGCUGUUCAGGGCCUGUUAUACGCUCUCCAGCUUGUUGUUUUGCAAGCUGCUCCCGCUAUUCAGGAAGGCCCGUUGAUGGAUGAGGUUGUGGGGACCGACUCUGAUGAAGAUGAAGCUGUUGAAGUCGCUCCUCGUCAGUUGGUUCCCCUGAUGCUUGGCAAUGCGAAAGAGUUGGAUGGUAACUGCUCGGUAAGAAAUCUACUACCCGAUAAUUAUAUUAUCUUGAUAUCAUUUUUGUUAACGUUACUAAUCUUCAUCUCUGAUAUGUUUUACUAAGCAGACGUAUGUGGAGCCUAUCAUUUGCCCUGACGUGGAGAUGAACCCGCAAGAAGAUUUAAGCUGGUCUGAUGAUGAGGAAGAUGUGAGAAAUUGAUAAUAUCGUCAAGUUAGUUGGCGAAGGGAUUACUUUUCGCAAUGAAAUGUUCACUGGGGGAUGUAUACCAUCCGAGGUGGAAGUGGGGCCAAAAAAGGUUAAGAGGGGUGGCAAAUCCAAAAUAGUCCGUGGUAGGAAGCCACAAAACCAAGGGAGGAACCCGGUUGGUCUACGAAGGAAGCAUCAAAGUCCCAAUUUAGAGGAAGGUCAAGGUUCUGGUCAUGUAGUGAAAGAUGAUUUGUCUCGAUUGCUCGAUGACAAACUCGACGGCCUAGAAAAAAGGAUUAUUCAAGGGGUGAUUAAUUGGUUUGUCAAGAACACUGUUAUUGACGUUGACAAUUCUAAAACCUCGGCGACAUUAGGAGACCCCGUUCCUGCUGAUAAGAUGAAACAAUCUGCUGUUGGAAAAAAUGUGAAUUCUUCCCCUGUUCACGCCUCUGCUGCUCAUGCUAUGUAUGAUUCUUUUCCAGCUGGUGAAUAUAAUAUCCGGUCUUCUACCCGUGUUGACGUGAUGGCUGGUGUUGAAGAUGUAGUGAGUUUCUACAAUUCUAAUAACGUCGGCGGUGAUGGUAAUAAUGUGGCUGGUGUGCCUCCUAACCAAGAUAAUGUAAUGGUUAGUUGAUAAUAGCGUUCUGGCGUUACUUUUAAUAUGUUUUGAAAUUUCGAGUUUUGAAAUUUAACAGUGUUUUAUUGUUGGCAGAAUGAAAACGAGAAGACUAUGCCACCUCCCGGGAAUCCUGCUGAUAAGGAUAAGGUUAGUUGUUAACAUUAAAACAUUGAUCACUUGUUUCUUAUCGUUUUUGUUGGUCUCGACAUUGUGAAGCCAUUUUUGGCGAUUGCAUUCUGCCCAUUUUUAUUCAUUUUUGCUUGUGUUGCCCUCUUAAUCAAUUGGUAACACAUUAUUUAUUUUUGUAGGUCCCAUUGCCUGAGGUGUCUUCUUCCUUGCCAGACAGCAGCUUGCAGGUUACGUAGUAUAGUUAAGUUUUAUGUAUUAGAUAUCUAUAUUUUUACCUGCUAACGACUAAUACGUAAUUGCGAAUUAUUAGGGUGAUGACAUGGAGACAUCGUAUCCCAGAGAGUCGGAGGUAAGUUAGAUAGGAAAUUUCGUCCAGGGAGUACCUUUUUUAGAUUAUCGGUUUCAUAAAUUUCUUAUUCAUAUCUUAAUUGUUUCAGUCGGGGAGUGAGACUACUCGUGGAAGUCAGGAAGAGGUUGAUAAUAAUGAAGUUACCAGCUAAUAUCUUUAUCCGCUAUAUCUUUCUCAAACGAAUAUAUGUAUCAAGUUAUUGUAAUGUUGUUACAUUUUUGCUUGUUAGGCCCUCAGCCCCCUCCAUUCUGAUUUGCCACCUACUACAGAUGCUGAUGUUAGUUAAAUGUGUUUUAUAUUUUAUUCGUUUUAUAUAGUAGUUUAGCAGCUAAGUAUUAUAUGUGGCUAGCUAAUAUUUAAUUCGCUUUCUUUUCUGAAGCUUGGGGAUACAAAUCUCCCUGCUUCUUCGUCCCCAACAUUACCUGUCCUCCCCGAUGACAGUGGUGCGAUUGUGGGAGCUUCUGAUUCUGUCUUGGUAAUGGUCGAUCUUCAUCAUUUUUUUUUUAUUAUUUUUUCUUUUGUUUGGUGGUUUUUCUGAUUCUGGAGCCGAGUUUACUCAAUUUUCUCCACGAUUCCCCAGGUCAACAACUCUGCUGAGGCCCUCGAGCAUCGAGCUCACGAACUCGUUUUUCCAUUUUUUCUUAACCUUUCUAUUCAUUUUUGUACCCCCUUCUUUCUUAUUUAGCCGGUAAGAUCGUUAUCAUUCAUUUAUUUUUAAUUAUUUUAUUCUUUCUUCCAGGCAAACAGCAGUCCUUUGGAAUCAACCUCUGCAGUCGAGGAAGAGAAGGAUUCUGAUCAGGUCAGUAGUUUCUUCUCUUUCACUAACUUGCAUUUUGGGAAAUCCUUAUCCGGUGAUUUCAAUUUAAGGAUUUCACCAAUUAGUAACCGGUGCUUUAGCAGGUAAGAUUGUUAUCAUUUAUUCUCUUUUAAUUAUUUUAUUCUUUCUUGCAGGCCAACAACAAUCCGGCAAAAUCAACCACUGCAGUCGAGGAACAGAAGGAUUCUGAUGAGGUUAGAUAUUUUUGCCCUGUUACAGAUUUAAUUUGGUAAAAUACUUAAAUGGGGAUAUAUUUCUUGUUUCAUUUUUAGGAUUUCACCACUCCACCCCCGUCAACCUAGUCUCGAUCUAACGUCAAGGUUAUCUUGUAACUAUGGUGUUAUUGCUUAUUGUUUAUAUUCAUCAGUUGUUUCUAAUUUUUCAUUUUGUAGGAGGUUUUGUGUGCCAAACCUCUGUCCUUUGUUGAUGGCAAGGCCGCCCCUGUUGUCCCCUCGAAUGUCUGUUUGAAGGCUGGUAGGAGGAGCAAAAGGCUUAGAACCUUUUCUAGUAAAUUAGAUGAGAGGUUCCAUUUCGAUAAGAAAAUUAAGGGCUUAGUUGGCCACCCUUCCCCGUUGGUAGUAGGAAGUAAUCAAUGCGUUGACCCUGAGGAACGAUUCCAAGGAUCUCUUAAAAAACUCAAGGCGACAAGGUUAACUUUGUUACCAUGUAAUGUUGGUUAUCCGAUAGUUACAACAUUAUUCGCUGUUUUUAGGAUUUAGCAUUUUUUUUCCCUUGCAGUUCUGUUUCCCUGGGUGGGGAUAUUUUGCUUGCUAACAAGGAUAUUUUUGAAUUGAUUGAGCGGAAAAAACAUCUCAACAACAAGGUAUUAAACCCUCUUCUUUUUAUGUAUGUAUGUUUUAAUUUAUCAUUACCCCUUUUGUUUAUUUCUCUUGUUUUCUUUCAAGGUCUUGGAUGCACUAAUCAAGUUCAGUCGGCAUAUAUUGAGGGUUGAUGAUGGUGACGGUGAGAAGUUGCGUAUUGAAGUCCUCGAUUCGAAGUUUGUUUCCCAGCUAACUCGUCUUUAUUACAAGUUUUCCAAAUCUGAUCCCCUUGGAAAUUUCAUUUUCCCAUCCCCAUUGAUUGAUAUUUUACGUGGAGCUGGGGAUCCUGAGCGGGUUGAAUUAUUUUCCGAGGCUGAUUUUCAUUACCUGCCGUUUAACUUCGACAAAAAACAUUGGGUUGCAUUGUGUGUUGACCUCAAUGGCGGCAAGAUUGUAGUCCUUGACUCUAAUUAUCAGCUCCGUAAAGAUGCAGCUCUACAAUCUGAACUUCAGCCUCUUGCUGUCAUGCUGCCUUUCCUUCUCAAACAAGCUGCAUUUAAUCCGUCUAUGAAGCAGUUGCCUGUUAACCCAUUUUCUAUUGAACGUCCUCUGUCGAUCCCUCAGGUUUCAUCUCCAUUUGAUUCUGGGGUUGUAUCUGUCUUCUUAAUCCAUGUGCAUGCCACUGGAGGUCUGGAGGAGUGUAAUGAUUUUGACGUUGGGGCGAUUGAGAGUGAAGUGAAAAAGCUCGUUUGUGCCAUAAUGAUUGCCGGUGUUGCUUCCUAACCGUUUUAUUAGCGGUCUUAGUUGUUUCUUAUCCUGAACCAAUCUCUUACAUCUUUUAAUGUUUGGUUAUUGCUACCUUUUUAAUUUCUUGGUAUGUUACUAUUUUUAAGUAAUAUUUGGAGUUUUUUUUUGUUGUUCUUUUUAUUUGUUAACUGGUUGGUUCGUAACCCCUCAGUCCGUAUCCUUCCUGUUGUUAUGUAAGCCUUUUGUUACCACCUAACAAUUGGAGCAAUAUUUUUCACUAAAACUAAGUGUUUCCUGAAAGCGUAAACGGCGACGUUUAACUAAAAAAUAAUUAAAAUUUUGCACCCACCCUUGUUAAAUAUCGACCGCAAUUUGUUGCUAAAGCUCCUAUCCUCCUAUUGAAAUCCCGAACCCUUGAUAUAGCAGUUAACCUAAGAUAUAGCAGGUAAGCUUAGAUCUUUUUUCUCAGAAAUACUGGGGAUAGUAAUCUCCCUGCGUCUUCGUCACAAACAUUACAAGAGUACAUUAGAGACAAAAGACAUCCAAAAUGACAGAAAACCAAUAUUCAACAAUGACUCAAAAUAAGCAAGGACAACAAUUACGCAAAUCUGAGUCAAACACAUGACGAUGACUCAACCUAGUACCUUAAUGAGACCUACCAUGAUCAAACAACCAAAAACAAAAAAAAAUCAUCAUCUUAUUCAUCUUGGACUUGAACUCAGAUUUUUUCCAUCAUAGCAUCUUCCACUCUCUCAAAAAUCUCUUUCUCAAGCUCCUUCUGCAUUUUCUCAAAAAUCAUCUCGUCGUGCUUCAUUGAAUUUGUUAUGAUCUCUUUGAUGUCUUCUUACAGCCUCUUAGUUUGCCCAUUCAAUGUCGAUACCUCAUCACACAAUGCCUCAUCCACCCACUUAAAUGUGUGGUUAUCAUUCAUAAGCUACAACGAGAAAGACAAGUAUAAGUACAAUGAGAAUCUAAAAUAAACAUUAGCCAUCAAAGUUCAACGGAAGGGUAUUACUCUAUUUGUUGCAGCAUAACCACAACGAAAGUAGCGGCGGUAUGGAUUUGGGUCGGAUUUUGAAAUUUUUUGCACAAUUUGUUCUCCACACCAACAUUUCUUGGGCACGCCUUUCACUCUUUCCCGGACAUUUGAUGAUCCACUUGAAGCUCCAGAGAUAUUGCUCAUGAUUAGAGAGGUCGAUUUUAGAGAUUGAUGAUUUUAGGUUUUUUUUUUUUUUUUCGAUUUGGGGAUUUUGGAGAAGAAGAUGGAGUAUAUAGG